Molecule: long non-coding RNA, 66043 nt
Filed under: Marmota monax (woodchuck)
Lineage: Eukaryota; Metazoa; Chordata; Mammalia; Rodentia; Sciuridae
Rfam family: tRNA (bases 46054-46124)
Source: RNAcentral
CAGGUGAGUGCACACAGCGGGCGUGGGAUGCUGCGGGGACAGUGCGGGGGACAUCAGGGUCCUCGAAUGCAGACGUGGAUUUGUGUGAUGUCUAGGUCAAGCUUGCAGAGCGAUUCCGAGGUCUCUCGCACCCUCGGCCUUCUUUCGAUGCUCCUACUGGUCCCGGGCUUGGGCGAGAGCUUUGAUUUGGGGUGGGGGGUAGGGCUUUGGGAAAUUCUUGUCUUGAGAUACUUGACAAAGGUUGCAAAGACAUCAGGUGGGAAUGUGUGGCUGCAGCUGUCAGGGGCUAGACAGGUGUGCUUGCGUGUGUGGGGCUGCGUGUGUGGCGAAGCCUCUGUGGCCGGUCAUUCCGUUCCCGAGUACCACUUAUGUGCUAGAGAGAGAAAUUGAGCGACUCUGAGGUGGUCACUAGACGUUGCGGCAGCAAACCAGUGGCCCUCGGUAUUUCUGAUAUGCUCCUGUAGUAACAGAAGUGCAGAUGGCUCAGUAAAAGAGUGUGUGAGGUUUUAAGGCACCCAGAAAAUAUUCUUUUAUCUUUUAACUUUGGGGCAGAAAUGAGUAUUCAAAGUGCUGAAUCAUGCAAAAAGAUGUGAAAAAUAAUUUACUUUGUGUUUUGGUAAAGUUUUCCCAAGAUAAUAAUAUCUGCUUAUUUGACAAAUUCCUUAAGGCACAGGUAUUUGAAUUGUAUUUUGAGACUGCCUUUGACUUUAUGGCUAUCCAUUGCUUUCCUUGAUUUAUGAUGAGUUGUAUUUACUCAUUAUUUCUUACCAAGCUUCCUCCCCACUCCAAACAAACAAAAAUAUUAAGGGGGGGAAAGGGGUCUUUUUCUGGUGUGCCUAUGAUUGUAAGAGUGAAGGAAGCAGUCCUGGGAAACAAAAAACAUCCUCCUUUGAGGAGUGCAAUGAUGGCCAAUUUGAUUUGUCAUGUGCCACUGAAGGGAAUGUCAAGCUGAUAACAUGCAGACUGGAGAGAAAAUGAAGCAGGAGUUGCCCAUUUAGGAAUAAAUAAGCUCUAAUUCAAUUGCACUCAGUAAAAGAGCUGAAGGGUAGUAGGUCCACACCCCAGCCUAAUUUUUCUUGGUAGAGCUGGGAGGGUGCAGUUUUUGAUGCCAGUUCUGAGGUCAGACACCAAAGAUGAUUAAAAAAAAAAAAAAAUCAGUCAGGAUUAGUAAAAUGGGUGUGUCCAAAGACAGCUCUUGCCCAUUUACUCUUUCUGCUCCUACUGAACUGCUUAGUGGCCUGCUGACUCAUAAGGGAACUAGCAUGGCUUAGCAUGGUGGGAUUUUACUUGUAGACUUGAACUGUACUUGUAAAAAAAAAUUAAUAAAUUAAUAUAAGCAUCACCAGAGACAUUCAUAGAGAAGUUAGUCUCCCCCUCACUUUCUUCUCCAGGGAGGUAUUUCCCAGUCCCUUGACUUGUCACCUUCAUUUCGAUACCUGUCAUCCAUGCUUGUGCACAGCACAUUUGGUUUGACACAAAGGUUUAAAGCUAAAUCCUAAUAUUAAAAAUAAAAGUGGCACUCUUAACAACAUGAUUGUUUCAAAGGUAUUUGUGAAGGAUACUGGAAAACUAGAAUAUGAAGGAUUAAUUGAGUUUUCUUUACAGCACAGAUUCCCUUCCCCUUGCUUUGCAAGACCAGGGCCCCACCCUGUUUCUGAGCAUCUGCAUGAAAGACCAGGAAAGGAAUUCAACAAUUGCAGUGGUGCAGGGAGGGGCAGUGUCUAGGCUUGGGUGUUACCUUUAUUUAAAUAAUUACUAACAUUUCGGAGGGUAAGCUUUAAUCCAUAAGUAGUUCUUGAAAGCAAAGUGUUAUUCCAUUUCACCAGUCAUCUUGUUAAAAUGUACAUUUAACUUUGAGAGGUUGAUUUUGAUGGAAAAAAAAGAUAUGAAGCAAGAGCCGCUUCCAAAUUUUAAGAUCCUGGGGCUAAAAGACCUGAUUGGAAGAACAAAUAUCGAAGCAUAUCAUGAAACCCAAAAUAAUAAUUUUUGCUUUAUUAUUCUUAAUAAAAUGUUUUUUUUUUAAAUAAAAGUAACUUCUUUUAGGAAGAGGGGGUUCAUUUUCAGGCAGUGCAUGGAAUAAACCAGCUUGUGGGAUAGACUAGCACCUGGCGUCUCAGUGAGAACAGAGAUGCAUAACUUGAGAAAGAAAUAGAUGAAUGAAUCUAUCUUUUACUGUUUGGUCCUUCAAACAGAACCCAGUCAUGUCACAUCAGAUUAGAGGAAGGCCAUUUCUGCAACAAGGCAAGGAGAUUUCAAAUCUGUGAGAAAGAAAAUGUUUCGAGCUGCUCUGGAAAAAAAAAAAAAAAGACAUUAUGAAUUCACAAUUCAUUCUGAUUAUAGCGGUGCUUACCCCGCAUCGUCUACUGCAGACAGCAGGGCUGACCAAGAGGAAAAGAGAUAUAAAGACUUUUUUCUUUAAAAGAAAGAAAAAAAGAAUAUAAAAAAUAAAUUUCAGAAAGAUGCCCACUUGGUUUAUUUCCCUUUUUUUUAAAGUUAAAUAAAUCAUUUAAAGAGAGGAACAUAAUACUUUUCACCUGAUGGCUAGAAUGAAUGAAUGCAUUUUCAAAUCUGAAUGUAGUGAUCAUUUGACAGCAUCUCAGUGGUUAUUUGAGUCUACUUCCCAUGAAAAUUGUGUGUUCUGUUCUGUACAAUAAUGUACGUUCAAAGCUGCUGAAACUACCUUCUUUUUUUUUCUUAUGCUAUUUUCCACUCAUUUAAAUUCCCAAAUGACACCUGCAAAUCCUAACACGUAGAAGGCUUUGAGAGUCACCAAGAACACAUGUGUAAUCAGGUAAAUUGCCUAUGAAUGCGGGUCAUUCCAAAAAUCAAAAUAAAUUUCAUCAGAGGCUUCAUGAAUCAAACUGGAAAAAAAAAAUCAAUUGAAUCUGGUCCUUUGCUCAGAUGCCAGCACCCUACCAGCCUGGUUUCAAAGAGGGUCUUUUCCUAAGAUACAUGGUGAUUAUCUUGGGGAAGUUGGCUCUGCCUACUUGCACAGUUAAUUGCAGUGUGAGAAGGUUCCAGAACAGUACCUCCUUGAGUUCCGACAGUAAAUAUGCACACAGCAUUGUAUGAGGAACAUUCCAGAACACCCACCUCCCGGUGAAGUGAAUGUGCGGGGUGAAUAAAUACCUGGGCUGCCGGAGCCCACAAAUGGAUUUCAUUCCUUACCAUUAGAGAUGGUGUUCAUGUAUACUGAGCUUUUUUAGGACACUGGAGAACCUUCUAGGGUGGGGAGAGACAUCUGUUUGGCUUCUUUUAGGGUCGUCCUCCAAGAAUCUACCCUUUUUUUUUUAUGUGAGGACGUCACAUUAUGUGUGUUUUAUAAGGAAUCUGAAGAAAAUGAGGUUUGCUAAUCCACUUAAUUUAGGGGGUUGUCAGACUGGUAGUAUCAUUGGUUUUAAGUAUUUAAAAAUAAAUACAUUUUUAAAAAUUAAAAGAUUUUAAAGUUUUGGGUGCCAUGUGUUAGAUUGAGGCAGUAGGGAAUAAGUAGCCUUUGGAAAAAACAACUUGAAAAUUGCUGCUCCUUUAAAUUUAUGUGACAUUAAAUACUUGCACAUACAUAUCUCUGCAAAAUUCAAGAAUGUGCUUUGGUGAGCACAUUUUGCCACAUACAUGUGCAUCCUACACAAACUGGAAUAGCUAGUUAGGAUUAUUCAAUUCUUCAUUUUGACAAGACUUGGAGUAGUGGGGAGGGAUUUUAUUUAUCUAUUUCCUAGUGGAUGUUGGCCUCUUGAUUCUGUUGUACUUGAGUGUCUUAGUAUUUAGGACCAUCCAGGAGAAGAAACAAAUGAAUAUGGUUAUUCUUCUAAGGAAGCGUAUUCUUUUCCUAUGUCAUAUUUCAGGUUGCUAGUUUAAAAGCAAUCUAGCUCUCAGUUUUAGGACUCAAAAUAUCAUGAGAAAUAACUUUUGUUCGGGCAUAGCUUAGGAUGCAUCUCAAAUCACUGCCAAUCAUCUUCGCUACUCUUGGAAUUUUGCAAACUGCCCAGACUACUAAUGAUCUAAAUAUUUUGGUCUUACAGGUAUUCCUCUGAUACAGUGGGUAAUGACUCUGCUCUUCAGCCUGAGAGUGGUUCAAAAUGUAAGUUCAGCAAGCUAAAUAAUUAAAUAUCGAUAACUCUGGAGAUCUAUGCAGAACAGUUCUUCCCAUUUUGUGUCCUUCUGCCCAAGACUCUAGCUUCAUAAGAGCCUAGAAGGAGGUGAUAUCUUCUCCUGGGGCAAUGAAGAACCUAGAAGAACAUUUCUUCAGUAUACGGCGUUGUGACUAUAUGUGUGUCACCACAGCCAAUGAUGGGUGUCCUCCUUCUCUGCCUCUCCCUACCACAUUAUUAUUUUUUUUAAUUUUAUGGACUCUUGGAAUCUUUUAUUUUAUUUUUAAUAUUUAUUUUUUAGUUUUCGGCGGACACAACAUCUUUAUUUGUAUGUGGUGCUGAGGAUCGAACCCAGGCUGCACGCAUGCCAGGCGAGUGCGCUACAGCUUGAGCCACAUCCCCAGCCCACAUUAUUUUUCAGAGUAAAACAAUAUGAACCUUUGGUGUCUGGGUAAUGCUGAAUUGAUGCUUCCUUCCCCCAAGUGUCACAUCUUUCUGGGUGGCCCUGCCUGUUCUAAUAUUCUCCUGGCUCAAGCUGAUAGUUUCAAAUAUGCAGACACAUCUAGGCUCAGGGGCAGUUUUUUGGGGUCAGAUGAAAUCCUCUGGUUACUGUCCUACCACAUAUUAACCAAGGUGCCAUGGCCCAGCUGAUGAAGGUCACGUGUUGGGAUCUGGCUCACGUAAGGUAUAAAGUGGAAAGUGUUAAAAUCUGCAGGAGGCCCUUGCUGUGUCACAGAAACACGGUGGAUAGUGGAUUUUCUGGGGCUGGAUCCACCUUGUCCAUUUUACAGAUAUUGAGUACUUCCAAAUCUGACUCUUUAAACAAGGAACUGCUUGUUCUCUGAAAGGGACUAGUGCUGAGUUAGACCCCUCCCUUCUUCGCAAAUCUCAAUGUGUAAUUUAAGAUAUUUUUGAAAAAUUCUCAGGCAUUUUAUGCAUUUCAUCACUGGCCAGGCUCUAGAAAGCUGAAUUUUAUAUAGAAAAGCAUCUCUCCUACCUUCUCUGGUCCCUUGAUUUCCUGCCUCCUGUCUUUAGCCACUUGCCCAAAACAUGGAUUUCUAUGUAAUUCAGUUCACUAAAUAUCACUUCCAUUUUUGUUUCUUUGCAGAGCUUAUUGCUAGAGCUACUAAUAGACUUUCAGCACAAAUAGUAUAUUGAUCACUUGAAAUCUCCUUUGAGCUUGACUGAAUAUACAUAAUGGGGUGUCAAUCGGGGAAAAAUCUCAUAAUAAAUGGCAGGCGACUUAUAUUCAUGAGAAAAAAUGUCUUGGGCAGCUCACGGAAUAUCAUGUUUACUGUAGCAUGACAGGCUGAUUUCGCUGGUCUCCAUCACAUUCGUCGGGCGGAUGUUUAAUAGCAAAGGCAAGGUUAGAAUACCAAGAUCCUGGAACCUUCUUUUCUUUGUUUAUGUGGGAAGCAUUCUUGUACACUCUUAUAGAGUAUAAACAUCUUCUAGAACCACAGCCAGCAAGAGAGAUCUUUUCUACCUGAAGAAUUCAGAAAUUGCAAACAAAUCUGUUUAAGUUGGUGUAUAUUUAAAAUCAGCUACUGAUUUAUGCAGUCCAUAUUUUUUAAGUUUUUACCAUGUGUGUAUCAGCGCAUACACUCGCUGUAUGCAAAUAUCAUUUUCAAUGUGUAUAUGGGAAAGCAUGGUAUAUUUAGAGAAAAGCCUGCUUUACAUAAAUUAUGUUUAAGAACAACGGAGCAGAGGAGUAGCCAUGCGUUCGGAAAGCCAAGUCGUCUUCUUCUUCUUCUUCUUUUUUUUUCCUUUGGAAGUUUCCUCUUAAAUGAUAAGUGAAGAAAUUGCACUUUAAACUUUCAUAUGCAAUUCCCUAAAAUCAGUUGUCAUGACAGAGCAGUGAUUAUGGUGAUGGGGCUUCUGGUCACUUUUUGGAGCUGACUUGAGAGCUGACUCCAUUGCUGCUGGUUAAGUGUGGAAUUGGGCCAUAGAGGGAACACAGGGGGGUCUAUUGCAUUCGCUGGACCCUUGUUUCACCCCAUGACCGUGUGGGAUGUAUUAUGUUUGUCCUAGUCUACUGGGUAGGGUGCAACCCAGAUUUUAUCAAGAAUUCUUCAUCUCCUGUAAAUGAAUGAAGCCAAACGACUCUUUGCUCAUCAAAUUUAAUUUGCUUUUUUUUUUUAAUGGCAAAAAAAAAAGUAUACACACACACACACACACACACAAUACUGGACAAAUGUCUCUUCCAGUUCCUUUUCAGUAUUCAAGAUGUUUUAAAAUGCGAUUGGCCAAGGUUUUUGCUUUUUUAGCCUCAAGUGUCAUGCAAUAGCCAGAAGAAUCUACUUAUCACAACGAGUAUACAAAACAGGACAAGUGGGGCUAUGAAGAUAUAAAAGAUGACAUGGUGCCCGGAUGCUGCUGCUUUUUCCAUAGCAAGAAUUUCUUUGUGCCUGUAUUCAUCUGCUUCCCUGAAAUGCUUCUGGUGUGUUUUUUCAGGUUUCUGAUUAGCAGUAAGGAGGAAUCCAAAGUUUGCAGACAGAAUGGACUAUCUGAGAACUCAUCGGUUGCAGAGGUUCAACUCUGUGUAGUUAUAAAAUAUAUUACUGAAAUGUGCAGAUUUCCUCUAAGUAAAACCUUAUAUUUAUAUAUUCCCAUAUAUACACACAAUUUUAUACCAGUUAGAAGCUAUUUGUAGUAUGUGGCUUUUUACAAAGGUAGUCGAUUAAAUAGCUUAGGCUUGGGAAAUUCCACUGUUGAGACUUAAGCAAAAGCUAGGUUAUACAGAGACUUUAAACUCCGCUAUUUGAAUAAGCUUCAAUAAUUUUAACCUACCGAGAAAUGUAUGUCUUGCAAGUGUUACAACAGGGACUUAUUGGAUGUCACCAAUAAAAGGGAAAUCGAAAAGAAAAUUGGAAAGGAAAAACCAUCCCAAAGAAUUUCAGUCUGAAAUCUACCUUUAUAGGCCCUGCCUGUUGUCUUAAAUUUUAUAUAGUUUUACUAAUUUAUUUUAAUAAAGUUUUAUGAACUAAGUAGAGGUUAAUGAAAUAUUUUCAUUUGUAGUGCUGGGUAUCAAAUCCUAGCCCUUUUGCAUGUGGGGUACACACUUUGCCAUUAACCUAUGCCCACCAUGAUUAUAUGAAUUACUUUCAGAGUAAAAAGUAUUAAAGAUUAUCUUUGGUCACAUAACACCCUAUUUGGUAAUAUAAAUACUCAGUUUUAAUGAAUUUCUUUUUUACCAAAUAUUUAAGGACAAAUAGAACAACUUUAGUACCUAGCUUUUCUAGACUUAUCAAUAGAAUUAAAAACAAAAACAAUAUGAGUAUCCUCACCAUGUUCUUGGUAAAACUUUUAAAUCAUUUUAAAAGAUAUUCAAAAAACAGUGGAAUUUAUAGCUGUUUCACAGACAGACAUGGAUAUUACAAUUCCCAGGGUUUAAAUUUUUUUUUUUUGGGGGGGGGGCGCCUAGAGCUGGGAAUGGAACCAGGGUUUCCCAUACUGCAGGCAAACACUCUACCACUGAGCCACAUCCGCAGCCCCUAGGGUUUGAUUUUUAUGUGUGCCAAAGUGAGGUUGGGAAAUAACUGGACCCUUAUCGUUUCAUUUCCUUGCAACUGCUGUACUUUCAGAAGCCCGAGUUGGAGUUCUCUUCCUUUAGUUGCAGCAUAUUUAGAAUUAUGUUCAUUUAAUUGAAGAAAAGAAGUGGGACUAGUUUUUCUUCCACAGUGAUUUAAAUAAGAACUAGGUUGAUGCAGUGGAUUAAAGAUAAUAUGCUUUUUAAAAAUUGGUGGGUUUUAUUUUCACUUUAAUAAAAAACACAUUUGGGUAAAGUAAAGAAAAAUUGCAGUGUGCGUACUAAUUCAAUUAUCAGCCAAGUAGUAGUUUGGGAUAAAUGACUUUAAUAUAUUUAGCUUUACAUUUAAUAAAAAGUUUUUCAGGUUUAAUUGCUUGCUAGGAGGAGAUCAACAAGACAAUUUGUUUAGGUCAUGUAACUGCUAAGCUUUAUGUAAGUUAGCUUCACUAGGGGAAAUAAUGGAACAGAAAAAACCUUCAGCGCUUCUCCACGUGUCUUUUAAGAUUCUGUGUCACCUGUGUAAGGGGGAAAAAUUUGUGAUUACAGUCAGUUGGUGACAUUAUUAUUAUGUUUAUUGAUGUUUUAAUAUGUAUAUAUUCUGUAAGUAUAUAACAUAUUUAAGGAUAUUUUCAUACUUCUUCUAAUUAAUAGUUAAAUGUAUGUAUGUAUUUGAAAUGAGACUAAACCAUUUCUUUUCAACUAGAAACCUAAUACUUAGACAUGAUCAAAUAUUCUAUAGCAUUCGAGAAAACAGACUUGACUAUUUCCCCCUUUUUAGUUUUUGUUCGAGAUACAUGCUGUGGUCUAUUUAUUUUACCGAUAACCAGAUCUACUAUGGUUAUGUAGGAAUUUGGUGUGGAUUUUGUUGUUGUUGGUUGGUUGGUUUGGAUGUAUGGGGAGUGGUUAAGGAGUGAAAUUCUCAUUUUGCAAAAUAAAAAAAAUCCAGGGAAAAAAAGCCCACUUUCAGAUUCAGUUUCUUCCUCCAUCUUGCUGUGCCUUGGCCUUAGGUCACGGUGAUGUGACAGUGGGACAUGCAAACCCAGUCUUUGAGGGACUUGGUUUGUCUCCUCUAAGCAGAAGGACUACCCAGCCUGUGACUCCUGUCUCCAAGGAUUUGAAAGUCCCGUGUCAUAGCCAAGUGCUAUUCUCCAUCAAGGUAGCCACACCUUCUGCAUAAUAUUUGUUUUGUUGGUGUGUCCUUUUAUACCUCUGCUGAAACCUGUGCAUUUCCAAAAGUCCUUCAAAAGUGUUUUUCUCUCUUGUAAAAAUAUUACAGAGUUGAGGAUAAGACUUAAAAUAUGAAACCUGCUACAGACCCCGAUUGUCAGGCUUUUCCAUUCUGACAUCGACCCUGGAAUUAAUUGUGGAGACCAGAUUUUUUUUCAGCUCAGAUGAGGCUCUAGCUACAUCACCAAGACUGCACCCUUUGAAUUCUCUCAGAAUUCCCUCAACCCAGUAUUUACAGAGCUGGGAUGUUUUAGUACAGCAGACAGACAAAUUUCCUCCCAAGCCGUGAUCAAAAUCAACAGUAAAAUAAAAAAACAAACCAGUUCAAGGUGGAAAUUUAUAGAGAUGACAUCUGCCACUUUUUUUUUUUUUUAAUGAGAUGUCAAUAUAUACAGGGAAAUCAGCCAAAUUACAGGGUGGUGGUCUUUGUUCUUUUGUACUACCCCACUAUUAGUGUAUAUCCCAGGAAUACACUAAUAGUGACCACAGUGACUAAACAUUCUUGGUUUUUCUAGAUUUAGACAUGAGGCUGACUGGGUUCUGUAUAGAGCCAGCGUCUUGAAGAGCAUCAUCUGUGGAAUGUUCUGCGGUGACCGUCAUGUCUGCUCGCGCAGCAUCCCUAACCACCCUUAGCAGCUGAGCACUUGAAAGGUGGCCAUUGCGACUGAGAAACUGAAUUUUAUAUCUUUUUUUAUUUUGAUUAAAACUUCAAAAGACACAUGCAACUACUGCAUAUUGGUCAGCAUAGCCGUAGAAAAUGAGGGACGUGAGUCAGCUCUGCCAUGAAGUCCUCUUUGUGAACUACGUGAGCAAAGGGCAGCCCGUACUCACAGGAGCUAGAGACGGGUCCACCCUGAAUGCUCUGCACCCUCAGCAUGAGGGGGGGCUGUACUCCUGCCUUCCAAGUCAAGCUUGCUCUUGUUGGUUUUGCUUUCACAUUUUUAAAACCUUCUAGUCAGAAUGUGACGCAGUAUAUUGUUGCUGCUCCUGAGACUCCAUCCCCUAUUGGACCGUCUAAUUAUUCCAGAACUGCUCCAGGUCUUGGCUGGUUUGUUUGGCUUUGAAUGCACAUCCAAGGUGCUCACCGAAGAGUUCUGGCUUCAGGAGAAGGGAUUUAAAGACCCCUUCCAAGGGUCCUUCUGCUGCUCUGGUUUCCUUUUGCACCUCACACCAUUUUUGUUCAUGGCGAGUCUUAUCAUCUGACUUGCAUGAAGACCCCUGGGUCUAAAAGAAUAUUACCCCAUGCUUGUGCUUUAAAAAAGUCUUGGUUAGGACAAGACCAACGAAGAAGAGGUUUCAACCAUUAACUCACCUGCAGACACUGACCUCUUACUGAAACUGCUGAAUCUUUCCCUAUCAACAUAGAAUCUCCUGACUUUGAAUUGACCCUGAAGCUUCUAGAGCCUUCAAGGACAUCAGCAUCCUCAGGCGAGUGAGUGAACUUAUUCCUGAUGGAGCUUGGUUUCUUCUGCCCACCCUCCCCCAUCCUAAGAUUUUAAAAAUAGAUGUGAAAGGAGGGAAAGGGGGGAAACAUGCCCUGUAGCUGUGACCACACCUUUGUCCUGCCCGUACUGCCCAGCACACAUAGGGGCCUUAGGUCUGUGCAAGGAGAGGCAGACACUGAGCAUAGAAGACAGUCAGGCCACUGUCCUCGGGAAGUUCACAGCCUACACCUCACCAUUUCCCCUGAGAACCAUGGCCCUCCAAACUGACCUGCCUCAAAAUCACCCCAGAGAGCCUUUAGAAUAAAUGAGUCAGAAACUAAUUCCUCCUCGCCUGCCCCCCCCGCCCUCCACCUCUCAUUUGUAGAAUUUGAACAUUUCUCUCAGUUCUCUCAACUCUGCCUUCUUAGAGACAGCCAUUUGCAGGCUUUCUAAGCAUGCUGAUACCAGGGUCCCACUCCAGCCUGGAAUCAGAAUUUCCGGGAAGGGCCUGGGCAUGGACAGAUAUUAAGGGUUCCCUAGGGAACUCUGCACAGACUGUGCAUGGCUAUGCCAACUGAAAAGUUUUAGGGUGCACAGUAAGCAUUCUGGCUGAGAUGAGCACCCACACCUGCCCCUGUAGCUUGUCUGCAUUUGUUGGGCACCAAGGAUACAUCGGCUCUCCUGGGCGUGGUGCUGUGUUUCAGUGUCCUUGGCCCUACUCUUCUUUUCUGCUUCCUUUGCUGUCUCAUCAUGUCUACUCAGCCCAUUGGGAUAGUGACCCCUAUGCCUGGGUCUCCCUGGGCAUUUCUUUUAGUGCGGGCACACCUGAGUCCAGUGCCCUGCCCCAUGCCAUGCUUCUUCCUGGAAGCUGGGUUCAAGACUCAGGUGCUCUUCCUCCCACAGUCCAAUUUGGUCCCUUUGUCCUACUCCCUCCACCCCAGGGUCCCCCGUUUCCCUAGUCACUGUGCUGCUGAUGUCAUUUGGGCCAACAUGUGCCUGGGCUGUUUUAAAAUGGUCAGAGGUGGGCUCUGCCUCUUCUGUCACUACUCUCUCUCGCCAUCCUUCCCCAGCUGCCGAAGCGUACCACUGAAAGCUCAGAAGGCUGUCUGCUGAGGUCAGGGUGGUGCAUCUCUCUUGUCAUCUGCCCAGACCUGCUUCUCAUCUUGUCAUGUCUUCCCACAGGCUCAGACUGCCCACAGGGGCCCACUGUGCCCUGCAGCCCAGGCCGGGGUAACUGGCCCAGUUGAACCUGCCUUCUUUCUGUACAUCUGCUGAUCUUGCUAGUCACCCCACAAAAGCUUCUCUGAUGGCUUUGUCCCUAUCCCCAUUCCCAAGACCCACACCCUCUUCUGUACCCCUCUCCCUUGGCUCUCAUUCCUCAAUUCUCCUGGCUCACACGCAGGCACUGCCACACAGUGCCUCAUUCUUAGUCUCCAGUUCCACCCUGCAGGCAGGAGUCGUGGUUGGUCACUCCUUCCCCCUCGGCUCUUAGGACAGGGUCUUUGCAGAGGCUUUCUGGACAUCACUCUCCCACCGAGGCCGCCUGUGGCAUUUGUUUUUGACUGAAUGCUCUUAGUAGUGACAGAGGCCUUUGGUUUUCUCCUGAGUGUGGAUGUGCUAGGCCUCCCCAUUGGGCCCCAACCUGUUGCUGCUGUUCCCCUCGCUACCCCUGUCCAGUGCAUACACACACACGCAGGUGCACACAUGCAUGCACCAGCACAGUCCCGCACAGUCCCUGUGGUGAAGCUUGCCCUUCCUGCAGUCAUCUCUUACCAUUGCCGUUCAAGCUGCUCCCUUGUACCUGGUGCCUGCAUUCACAAAGUGACCUCACCUUGCUUUGGUGGUACUUUUGGAAAAAUGUUUUCCUCUUCCCCUUGUACGAAGAAAUGAGGACUUGGAGACACAGCUGCUGCACUAAUACUGUACCCUCUUGCCAUUGCCCUCUCCCCUUCUAGUCUCAGCAUGGCAGGUUAGCUGUUGACAAGUCAUGAAGAACAGUGCAGCUGGCCCAGUACCUCUAUUCUGAGCCAUCCUGGCUGUCCCCAGGGGUCCUCUGUCUUUGUCUACUGCUGCUUUGAGGGGGGCCUCAGACUGCAGGGGCGGGGGCAGAGCCUCAAAGCCUCCCCAGGGAAUGUGGCAAGAACCCAGCUCUUGCUCUGGACAAGUGCUUGGAGAUGAAGGCCACUGGCUCAGCUCUCCUGUUUCCCCUGGAGGGAAAGGGUAGAAGCUAGUUGGUAGAGGGGGUUGAUCCAGGGUGCUGAGGGCCUCAUCCUGCCAGCCAGGUUGGAGCAGCUUGCAGAGCUCAGUGGAGGAAGAAGAAGAAGAAGAGGAGGAGGAGGAGGAGGCAGCAGCAGCAGCCUUGGAAGCUGUGUAUGCAGAGGGAGGGAGGGGGAGAGGGCAGUGCUUAUGCAGGAACCACAAGUAUGUCAAGUAUUUUAGUGUGGGGUGGAGAUGGAGGUGGGGCAGGCAAGGACCUUAGUGCCUCUUCUUGGGCCUGCUCUGCCCUGUGCAGAUCCUUAGAUUCCAUCCCCAGCACUGCAGUCGCCAGGUGGGGCACCUAUGGCUGCCUCCCUCAUUCUGCCUCUUUCUGGAAGCCUUCUCUAGGCUGGCAGGGUCUGGGCAUGGCUCCUGGGACAGUGUCAUCUGAGAGCCCUGCUACAGUGCCUGUGGUCUGGUGAGGGGACACAGGGCUGGGGCUCGGAGUCAGCAUGCUGACAGGUUUUGCCAUCUCCAGUGGGAAAGGAGCACUGAUUCCAGAGGGGAGACAUCUGUAGAGCCCCAGUGUGCUAUGGCUAUGAAAGGGACAGGGACUGUACAUUCCAGACUCUUUCCUCAGCCAAGACUCCCUUUGGCAACUUUGAGGGCCAUGGUCAGUCUUCCUCCCUGGCUCAGAUGUCCUUGCUGCCAUAGCUCCUCCCAGAACCAGGAGCACAGGGACCUUUGUAUACCACCUUCCCGGGCCCUGACCCUCAGCAGCCUCAGACCCCGCGAGGAAGUGGACAACACUGGGUGGCCCCCCAUGUGACCGCCUCCUCACGAACACGGCCAGCACCUUCCGGUAGAAGAAUGGCUCUUCCCUGCUUUGCUCUCAGUCUUGGGUCUGACAAUUAAGCCACUGAAAAAGAACAAUUCACAACAGGCUCACACAGAGGAGGCCUUUCAUGCACCAGAAUGGCCGAAUCGUCCACAUUAGCACCAUUUGUAUCUUAUUUAUAGAAGGUACUGUACUUGAGGAUGAUCGAGAAGCAAUGCUCUAAGAAGGGUGUUUGGUCAUUGGAUUUAAAGCACACUGAGGAUUCAUUGUCCCCAGGCAGCACUGUGGCCUGAGAUUUGCUGAGUGGGCAGUGGAGUGCAUGCUGACAUGGGUGGGUGGCAGGGUCACUCUGGCUGGCAGUGCCUCUGUCAUUGAAUCAGUGGGUUGGGGGGAGGUGGGGAACCACUUCAUGAUGGCAGGCCAGUGACAGGCCCAACCUAGCCCCAGAACCUCCACAGAAGGUCAGUGUGGCCAGUGGGAAGCCAUUCUCACCGAGUCCUGUGAAUCUGAGGGAUGCCUGGGUUCAUUAAUGAUUUAGUUACCAUAUUGGAACAGAGAGCCCCACACUCCAUUAGCUCGGGAGGAGCAGUCGUGAACUUUUCAUAUAGACACCUUGGCCUAAUGGAGUUGUGGGCACAGACCCAGUAUGGUUUUUAGAAAUAGUCUAACCUCCAGGGGGUUGUAAAGCUGCCAGGAAGCCAUCCCUGUGCCCAUCCUCUGCUCUACCAAGCCAGGUCACGUCUUCUGGCCUCCCAUGUCUGCCCUGAGGAACCAGUGGGCAGGUAGGGGUGGGUAGGUAGGGGUGAUCAGGGUCAGAGUCUCUAGGCAGGUCAGGGUUAUGACCUACAGCUGGCUCAAGCUUAGGGCCAUUUUGAAUUGGAAAUGUCCAGGAGUGUGCUCUGUAUAUUAAGACUGGUCCCAAAUUGACCGCCUAGUCCUCAAGCAUCAUGAUCCAGGACGGAGGGAAUUGUUGGCAUCUCCCACCACCACCGUUCAUUCUCUCUGCUGCUCUUAACCGUCGUCACUUUGUAGCAUUUCCCCAGCUCAGCCCUUAAGGUGGAUGUUUUUAUUUUAUCUUCAAAACCCCCCAUGCAGUGAGUACCAUUAUCACCACUUUUGCAAACGAAGAAACUGUUUCCGAGAGGGCAACCUGAUGGCUCGGGUCACACAGCCAGAAAGAGGUAGAGCCAGGUCUUUUACUCUCCUGCCCUCAGAGACCUAGGCUUCAUUCAAGCUGCCUCAGUCCGGACUUCUGGCCCCUCUCACCCCACCUCUCCAGGUGUUUCUGAGUCAUGAGCUGUGGAAGAAGAAAAAGAAGGAUCCCAUCUGAGGCUUGGUGUGCUCUGGGUCUCAUUUCCUACUGCCUCCUCCCAGCGGAGCCUCCAGGCCUCCACCGUCUGUCCAUGUGGUUCCUGAGGCCCACUGCCUUAUCAGUGAGUCACUUCCUCCGCGUUUUUUUCCCCUUAAGGUUUUAUUCCCAUUAAAAGAAAAAACCCAACCUCCUUCACAAUGGCAUAUGUCUGCCUCUGCAGAUAAUUUUUUUAAAAAAGUGUGUUGGAGACUUUCAGAAUUAUUUUUGUUUGAAUAUCCGGUACACCUCUAUAAAAUAGGAAGCCAUAGGCCUUCACCUCUAGAGAUGGGCCUCAUGGAGUCUGCAUCAUGAGUUUUUUGGUUUUUGACCCCAGACAAUAAUCAAGCUUUACAUCCCAGGAUAACCCAUACCUUUGCUGGAGAAGGGCCCAGGGAGUGGGGAAGCAGGCUCACACUUAGGGGGACACAAUACUGUCAUCCUCGAAUCCCUGACACCUCGUAUCCAUGUUAGCAAGAUGAGAAAUCAGGGCAGACAGACACAGGUUUGGAAAGGGAGAGGAGGGUGUUAUGAGUAGGUGAAAACUUCUAUAGAGGGCUGAGUUCCUGAGCCUGUUCAAGAGCACAGUGGAGCAUACACUUGAAUCUAGAUGUCCUGGGUUCAAAUCCUGGCUCUGGGACUUGCUUGCUGCUGUAGGCCUUUGUGCAUCCGUUUCUGAGUCUGUAAAAUAAUGAUACUGCCACAUAGGGUCAUUGUGGGGACCAAAUGAACCAUGUGCUUAUGGAGCAUCCUGAGAAAUGUGCUUGGCACACAGUAGGUACUCAGUAUUGUCAGCGCCAAAUAACAGGCUGGUUUCUGGAAAGGGCUAUUCAGAACAAAUGGCUGGGAGUAUUUUCUAUCCAACAAAUAGACAGAGAUGGAGUAGACAGAGAUGGCUGACAGUUGUAGUGAGGUGCCCAUCUAGAAUCAGAAGAAGUCCCUGUCAGCCACAUCUCAGGAUUCAGGGAGAUGAUGUGAUUGAUUGUUUAUUUAAUUUAUUUAUGCCAUGCUGAGCUCCACACAGGGUCUGAGCUGUCUUCCGUUUGCUUUUUCUCAAUGUGCUGUUGCUUCCUGAUGAAUGAGAUUAGGACAGGAAUCAGCCCCAGUUCUGGCAGCUGGACUGGUCCUCUCCGAGCAGUUCCAUUCUUGUGUGCCUGCUCUUUCUGCAUUGCUUUUGCCUUUGAUUGCACGCCUGGCAGGUGUGGGGGAGGGCUUUCUCCACCUGGCAUUGUGUACACCCCUGUCCUUUUGAACAGCACCUGCCGACAGGACUCUCGGACUCUCGUCCCUUUGAAGAAAGCUCCUCUGGAGCUCCCACACUGGCCUGGGCCUCUGUGGCCAGCUGGGUAGUGGAGUUUCCCCCCAGCGCUCGCUGAGCUGUAUCCAGAUUCCACAAAGCAGAGGUAGCCCCAGGGCUCACAACAGGGGGAGUGGUUUAGGGACCCACCCAAUCCUGCAGUCUCCAGCAGCUCCCCUGUGGGGGAUAUUCUUAACCUCGUGGUGGCCAGGAUGUAUCUGUUUCAGGGGACUGGAAUUCUUACCUGUAUGCCAGGAACCAGGAAUCCCAGGCAGAUGAUUGUGUAAGCCCCAACCCUGAUGUCAACCCGGGCACCUUUUGUCUCCUCUGUAUCCUAGCACUUAGCAUCCAUUAUAGCCAUGGCUCAGGGGUGGGGAGAGAAACCUGAAAGGAUGUCAAGACAGAGAGAGGGCUGAGAACCCAUUUGUGGAGUAUCUAUUGGUGGUUACUGGGCAGGUACAGGGGGUUAAGGAAAGAAGUAUCCCCAGACCCACCCACCUGCCAUUUCUGCCUCUGAGGACCAGCCAGGAGCUCCCCCAGGCUUCUGGUGAGCACAGAGGUCACCAGGAAAAGGACAGUAACUUUGGAUAAGCUCCUGGCCAGUGACAUGCUGGGUGAGGAACGGAGGAAUAACAGUGAAUCGCUGAGGACCUUUGGAGCCAGGAGAUUUCUAACGUAUUAUCUCAGUUCAUCUCUGUCACGGUUUUGUGGGGAACAGCUAACUGAUGAGGAAAUGGAGACUCAGGGAAGUUGGCCAUUGUCCUGUCCUCUGCAGGGCGGCUCCAUUAGCCAAGCCCAUGCUGACAAACCACCUAGGAAGUGCAAGUGCCCAAGCCCUGUGUCCCUUAAUAUGACAUUCCUUACCUCCAGAUCACAGGCAAGAUGGGGUCCCACAGACAGGAGGGUUCAGAAAUGAUGAUGGUCUUAUGUGCUAGGUGGACAGCUUUUACCCAAAGUCUGGAUCUGUCUAGAAGGAGGUUGCUCAGAAAAGGGCUCACAGGGUCUGAGCCCCAGGCUGGGUGUUGUUCACACUCAGAUAUCUGUAAGACAAUGGUGCAGGUGGAAGGGACCACAGCCUGAAGUCUUCCAACAGCCCCACAGGGAUGGCCCCUGACAGUGUCAGCAUCAGUAUCUGGGGGCUUUGAGAUGUAAGUUGUACAGCUGAGGCCAAGGAGGUGGAAUGGAGAUUGUGUUGGGGACAGCUGUGAGAAGCAGGCUGGACAGAAAGAUUAUAAAUGGUGGUGGAAAGUGAGAUGCAGUCCAUGGAGAAAGGCCAAAGAAAUCAGAAAACAACUGUUAGAAUUCUCAUGACUAUUGGCCAUGAGGCUAGGUGGCUUGGUGUCAGGAUUCUAGCUGUACUACUCAGUGGCCCUGUGGCCUGGGUCAGUUCCCUAGCCUCUCUGAGCUUCAGCUUCUCAUCCAUUGAGUGACUGUCAGGUCAUCUGCUUCCCGAGGUUGACCAGAAGGAUGCCAUAAAAUGUGCUGCGCCCACAUAGGUGAGCGCAUCAUGGGUGGCGGCCGCACUGGCCAAUGUUCACCCCCAGGCAGCAGCACCUGGUGCAGUUUUGGCUGGAGCUGAGCUGGCCACUCUUCUGGCCACAGUGCCUGGGAGCCUUUCAGGUAGCAGAAAUGCUCAGGCGCUGAUCCUACCACUGAUAGGUGCUUGGCGAGUGCCAUGUUCACAGUCACAGUGAGCUUCCUGUUCCCCAGCCCCAGUUCACCACUCCCUCCCCUUAGCUCUCCUUGCCCCCUGCUGUCUGCCAGCUUGCCUCCCCAAGGCUGGCAAGUGCAUGCGUUGAUGCUCUUCCCUUCCCAGUGGAGCCCAGCCAUCUGAGCCUAGUCCAGCUCCCUGAGCACACCUCCAGGGGCAGGCCAAGAAGAGAAAAAAAAAAACCAGUACCACAAAAGCAUCCCAGGUCUGUCCCAGGCAUGCAACCGCAUAAGCCCUUGCAUUCUCCUGAGCUGUAGCUUUUCAUUGCAGCCUCGCCUCCAAGCCAAGUCAAACCCUUGACCUUGUAGCUCUAACAGGAGCUACAGGAGAAAUUUUGAGUCUUUGGAAAAAAAGGAAGGUGGGUAUGGGGCAGACCUGCAGUCCCAGCUACUCUGGAGGCUGAGGCGGAGGAUCACUUGAACCCAGGAGUUCAAGGCCAGUUUGGGCAGCAUUGUGAGACCCCCCUUUCAAUAAAGGAAAAAUAGGAAAUUAAAAAGGGACAAAAAUUGCACCUUUCAGCCUUUCCCCAGCCCCAGGAGCCAUGGGUAAGAAGGUGGUUCCUAGGCCUCUCCCUCCUCUUGAGACCGGUCAUAACCCUAGAGUCUUGAUUCUGGUUCCUGAGGAGGUCCAGUUCUAGAUGCUAAUAUGGGUCAUGCUGAUUUGGGUUCUGUUCUCUCCACACAGAUGGCAUUCCACGGGAGGGACACUACACAGGGGUCACCUUAACCAACUCUUGGGGGGAGGGGAGAGUAAUGCAGUACUCCUCAAGCAGACAGUUCUAGCCCAAGCAAGGGACAGUGGUGACUUUUAGGGUACAUUAGGGUUGAAGGAUGGUAGAGUGUGGCAAGGGGCCCCAUGGAAGUCCAUCUUUGUUUCUGAAAGAAGCCACAGAAUAAUCUCAUUUUGAACUUCAAGUGCUCAAGGAAUACCCUGAAAUCAGAUCUAAUCCUGGACAGGGACAGUAGCUUGUUGGGUCACCUCCUUCUUGUCACUUUGCCUCUUCUGCAAAAUAGAACUGUCACCUACCAUCACUUGCUAUAGCGCCACAGAUGUCAACCAUGUUUGGUCUGUUGUGUUUUGUUAUUUUUCCCAAAUGCCAAUACUUCAAGGGCUGAAACCAUGCUGAUCCUAUAAACCUAUACAGUAGUGUUGGUUUUAUAAUAAUUUCGUUGUGUGACUCCUCGUGAGAGACUCAUGGAGCACUCCUGGUUCAACUGGACUGCCUCCAGGGGAACAGGGAUUGCGCCCAGCCAAUAAGCAUCAAUGUCAUGAUAAGAAAAAUGAGCAUCCAAGGGCAUCUGCGGGGGGGGGGUGGUGGUGGUAGGGAGCACAGGGCAUGGACUGGCAGACAGGUUGCCCCAAGCAUCCCACUGUACCCCAGGAUUCCCCGAGAUGACAUUCAUAGCACCGUCCCCCCAUAGUCAACUGCCCUAACUCAUCAUUCCUAAUUUCCUAGCCAAGUUGAUCAUAAACUGGAUUCAGGAACUCUUUCAUGCCAGGUGAUUCUGCCUGUAUUGGUAUAUAUAGACCAAUGCUACAAUAAUUUUGUAUUGUGGCCUGUUUUAUGAAAAAAGAAAGAGAAGAGCCCUAGCUUGGGGAUGAUUAAGCCCAGAAAGGAACAUGCAGAGCCUGUCCUGCAUUCAGGUGGACACAACAGAGGUUUUGGUCUGAAUAAAGGCAGGCGCAGCAGAGACUGAAAUCUCAAAAUGUUUACACAGCUGCAAAUCCUAGGAGCAGUGAAACGUCCCCAACAUCCUAAGAGGUUUUUUUUUGUUUUAACCAUAAUCACUACAACAAACAUUUUCCCACAGAGGAUGAAAAAAUUUUAAAUUUGAAAACUGUUGCCCGCCUUGUGUGUAAUGGCUAUGAGAAUGGUAAGAUCUUCACCUCCCUAUAGAAAUGGGAAGUUCCUCUACAUUCUAUUUAACUUUCAAAAAUAUAAAACAGGAAAUUAUAAUAUUUGUUCUCCCAAUGAGUUUUAAUUUAAUAUGAAUUCUACUUUUUUUUUCCUGUAAAGCAAUUUGCUAAUAUGAGAUGUGGUGAGUUUUUUUUUCCUCCCCUCCUAUUAAAAUGAAUUUCUCCAUAUUUUAAAUGGCAUCACAAGACAGAUGGGCAGCAGUGGUUUUUAUACUGGAAAUGUGGUGACCCCCAUAGCCUCACCAGAUAAAAUUUAUACUCCCUUCAAAAUUCUAUUUAAUCUGUUGAUACUUUGGUGGAAUUCUGGAAAUGCUCCUGUCGUGUCUAGUAAGAAGCUUGAUAGAGACUUGGCAAAUCCAUAGUCGUUCCUAAAUAAUGAAUUUAUUGAGCCUUUCCCUUGAAUAUAGAUGCCAUAAUAUAGAUGCCAACAUUUCAUGAGAGAAAUUUGAUUAAUAUGUUACCAAUGCCCAUCACACUUGAAGGAAAUACUUUGUUUAGAUGUGGAAUGCAGGAAUAAAAUUCCGCAGCCUUUCACGCUCAAAGUUGGAUUGUCAGUUGCCCCCCAAAAGAGGAAUUUUUAAAAAAGAGAAAUUUGUUUUUAAAAAUCAGCAAACUAAUCAACCAGGAUAGAUUUAGAAUUCCAGUCCUGACUGGGAUGCAGGAAAGAGAAUUCUCAGAUGUACUAUUAAGAGGUGGCUGCAUAUGUAGAGAAUACAAAUUGAUUUUAAUGUUAGAAUAAGCACAGCAUCAUCGAAAAUGCCAUCUAAAAAUACACACAUCGUCUCUGCAUACCUAUGGGUGAACCUUGUCAUUUCUUGGUGGCAGUAUGCAUACCCCACCAACACAUUCGCGACAGAUCCCCCGCCGGCUGCCAUGUCGCCAUGUUCAUUUGUCUCUGAGUAGUGAGAAAUAAAGGAAUCUGAAGGUGAUUUGUCCCAUUCUGGGCCGGAUAAAUUAAAAAUUUGUAUUUGUGUGACAAUUCUUUUGCAGUCCUAGGAAAGCAAUAAGAAAGUGAAAAGCAUUUAAAUGAAGCAUUGCCUCUAGAAAAGCUCUUGAAAAAAAAACCGGACAAAUCUAAAUAAUAUUGAUUGAUUGAAAUUGAUUUUUCUGAAUGUUUUCUUCUGUGGGGUUCCAGGGAGUGACUUCAAGCUUUGGGAGAGCUUGUGAGCUGACACUGCUGGUGGCUUUCUGUUUUUGUAGGAGCUCCGUUAAAUUUGAAUGUCAAUGUUUCCUGAACAUUCUUGGUUUUCAGUAGACCCACAGGAGAAAACAGCACCCAUAAGUGAGGACAAUGAAGCAAUCUGCUUUGUUUGCGUAUAGGGACUGUAAACGGAUGCUCCAGCUAUAAAACACCCACCAUCACAGCACGUUUCCUUUCCUCAUUUGACAAAAUUAAUUUUAAGAACAGUGACUUCUAGGGGGCUCAAUCUGUGUGUGUUCUCGGAAGCUCAGGUAUUCUCUUCUUGCCUCAUUUUCUUAAACUGGCGGAUGCUUGCCUGGGAAUGAAUGAGGAAAAUGGUGUGGUCCUGGGUAUUUAUUUCAGACACUGCCCACGAGGGCUCACCGGCCUGCAGGCUAGAUGCCAGCCACCAGCCCAUCAUUUCUCAGUGAAAAGAACCUUUCAGCUCGGUUACCUCCUGGAGAGAGCUGAUUUUCCAGCAGUCAGGCUGAUCUGGGUAAAUAAUUAGAGAGCUGGAGAGCGGAGACAUCACCCUAGUGCUGUCUGUGAUUCUGCUAAUGUAGCCAGACCCUGUGAUUCCAUCGCUGCUACAGUCUCACCGCUGCCUUUCUCUAAAGCUGCGGAGGGAGGGAGGGAGGGAAGGAGGGAGGGAGAAACAGCAACAAAGCCAGUUGCUUGCAUUUGUCUUGAAAGAACUAAUGACAUUUUUCAUUCUUUUGGUAAAUGCAAGAAAACAGCUGCAGCUCUUUAGCUGCUUAGAGGAAGGUGAAUCACGAUCUGCUUUGCUCUCCCCACCACCCUGACCUUCCAGCACUUUCCUGCCCCAGUGCAAUUUCCUAAGCAUAUUGAUUUAUUUUUAAAACUGUUUUACCCCUAGUUUACUGGAAUUUGCAGGGUUCUGGGGUGUGCAGGCAGAUCACAUUUCUCAUAAAGCAGACCUUGAAGUGGUUAAUAGCUUGUUGUUGAACUUUUAUAGCUGCUCAUUAAAAACCAAUUUUUUUUAAAAAAAAAGAGAAAGCACAUUAGCUAUUGUAAAGCUACAAAUAUCCUUUAUCUCUCUACAAAUAUCCUUUAUCUUGAAACUUCAUCACAUUUUAUCCUGUCCUUCUGCGUGGUGCUCAUGAAAGGGGAAGAGCAAAAGUGUGAAGAAUUGGGCACGUGAAAUUCUAAGGUUCUAGUGAAAUUCCCAAUUUUUCUCUUGUAUUUUCAAUAGCAGCUUCUAUGGUUAUCGAACCAUUGAUUCUUACUGAUUGGGAAUCAGGCCAAGAAAGCCAAUCUGACUUAUUGAAAAAUAGUAAUUGUAUUAAUGGUGUUUUAUUACUUCCUAUACAUUGUUAGGAAUGAAUAGUAAGAAAUAGAAAAAGGUCAUUUAAACCAUAAACAUUCACAACAGGCAGAUUGAACGGGACAUGUUAACUACAAAGGCCCUUAACACACAAUCCUUGGACCCACAGCUGGAAGACAUAUUGAAGAAACAAAGGCAGUUAGCUCAGGAGUAGGGGGCUCUCUCUGACAAGGGUGGAAAAACCCCAGUGGCAAGAAAGUUGGAAGUCAGCUCUUCACCUACCCAGGCAGAGCUCAGAUUCAUUCAUCAGAGUCCAGAAUUAGUAUGCUCUUCAUUAACAGAGUUGAGUAUAUACUUUUCCAGCAAAUAGCUGGAUUUUCCAUAAAACUCUGUGACAUGGCAGGCCUUACUGGGUGCUUGGUUCAUGACAAAUCUAGAUAGUCUGGGCCCAUCCAGAGGGUUAAAUGACUGAUUAGCCCAGCAGCACCACAGAGGCUGUAUUUUUCCUGCUAAAGUGUGUUCAGACCAGAUCUCCUGGCUCAAGACUCCCCCCUACCCCAAUUGAGUAAGUUUGUCUUGGGACCUAAAGCAGCAAGAGUUGACACCUUGGAAUGGACUAAACCUUCCCUCUACUCUUGCUUUCCCCUCUUUUCCUUCUUUCCUUGCCCCUCCUUCCUUCCCUUUCUCCCUCCCUGCCUCCUUCCCAAACACUAGGGGCUUUUGAAGGCUGUUCUAUAGCAGCAAGGUGGAAAGGUCUUUUGGGACUGAUGCCCCAAAGAGUGGAUUUGUCAAGAAAAAAAAAAAAAACAAAAACUGGUGAGGGGGUUGGGGGCGAGGUAGGAGGCUGCUAGGUGCUUUCUGGUUUCUCACAAGGCUUAGGAUUGGGUUUUUUUUUUUUUUUUUUUUUGGAGACUCCUGGGGCAUACUCGUCCCAUGGUGGCUGGGACAGUGUCAGGAUUAAACUAUCAUAGGUCUCAUCAAAGAAAUCUCUAAAGGAAACAGUGCACGGGAACCCUUUCUCUUCAUGCCACUCGCAGGUUACCGCUUUUCAAAGCAAAGCCAGACUCGGCCCUGCCCGGGGUAGGAAGUCUUUGUCUGCCUGCGCGCCCGAGCGCUCCCGGCGUCGGAUUGAUUUUGGCCCCCGCUGCCGCAAGUUGGGGGCUGGUGAGAAGCGAGCGGUGGUUAGGGGCGGUGCGGACUGGCAUCUCGGUACCAGGGAGCCCACUGCUGCUUCGGGAUUUUUUUUUAACUUGGGAUUUCCACAUGGCAAAAAAAGAAAGAGGUUUCUCCUCGAUCUAACGGAGCCAUUAACAUCUAUUAAUAACGCGCGCGGACAGGGUAAGUAGAGGAGUGUAGUCGCGCUCCCCGGGGUGCCUCGGCUGGCCUGUGACAGCGGCAGCUCAGCCCGGUGCGCACCAGGCCAGGGGACUGAGCCUGCUGCCCGCUGCCUGCUCCUCCCCUUGCCCAAGGUGAGGGGUCGCGCUCGCACCAGAGCUCCUGCGCCCUCCCCUGACUACUUUGCAAGGCAUUUUCUCCAGUGGGCAAAUUACUUGUCGUUUCUCUCCGGGCAUUGGCGGCUCCUUGCUGGAACUGUCCUUUCGGAUUUUGUGAUACAGCCCAGGCAGAGGCUGGAUGAGGAGGUGGUGCCCAUGCAUAUUCAUUUUGUCUCGUAGCCGGCUGCCCUUCUUGCCAUUACAGGCUGAUUUAUUGAUUUAUAUAUAAAGUGUGUUUUAUUUUAGUAAUUAAGCAGUCCUGAAUUCAUGGGAGCCGUCUGCCCUUCCCAGGCAUGUUCUUUGCUAGGGAUGAAAGACAAAGGUUGUUUGUGCCACCCCCCACCCCUUCAUUUUCUAGCCUAGUGACCACUGACUUUUGUUUUAUGGAGAGCUCAUUAGGAAUGGCAUAUCUUUCUUCCAGAGAAAUCACUGAACUAAAAAAAAAAAAAAGCAUAGUGUUUUUUUUGUUGUUUGUUUGUUUUGUUGUUGUUUUUUUAAUAAACCAACAUUUGACAGCAGCUAGUGGGAUGUGGUGUAAAGAUUGUGUGGCGUUUCAGUUUAGGGAUGAUUCUAGGAUGGAUGUGUCUGUGGAACAGUCACUGACUUAUUUCCAUCAAGGUACAUAAAAAUAAAUGUUGCUUUUUUUUUUUUUUCCAUUACAAAGGAUGCUACCUGAGGUGACCGGGAAACAUAACUUCAAUUGUAUUUUCUCUCCACUUAUUUUAUUCUUCAACUUGACUUUUCACUUUCCUAUGCCCCCACCCUUCUACUCAUCCAUCCAGAACCCCAUCAUUUCAAGAAAAAUUAUCUCACAGUCUCUUAUAUUUUCAAGAACUCUAUUAUGCCUAUAAACUUGACCUGGAUUAUGUUACUUAAUUUGGUAGAGAUAUUCUGUCGUGCAGGAAAUCACAGCCUGUGGGGUCAAUACGUGCUUAUGAACCCCUCAGCCAAAUUAUUUAAGUUGUUUUUUAAAGAUAUUUUUAAGCCAGUGAACACUUAGCAGAAAUAUCUUUACAGAUCCUAAUAAACCUAUUUUUAGUCUUGAUAUUUUAAAAGCCUGGCUCAACCCCACCGGUUCUAAUUGAUGUAAAAUGUGCUUCUAACGAAAGAUGUUUUUAUUGUCAACAAAUUAAAUCAUUAUGAAUUUCCUUUAUGGAAAUAGAUGCUCUCACAAAAGUAGAAAUUUUACUACACAGAAUACCACUCUGAUUUUAAACUCCUUCAAAAUUAUAUAUUUAAUAUGUUAACAGGAAGGACUAUAGAAGAAUGAAUUAAACCCGGAUGGCAUUUGCUGGGCUUAUGUUUUCUGUAAGCUUAUUGUAUAUCCUAUUUUAUAUGUUUCCAUCACUUUUUAAAAAUGAUCCCAUUACAUUUUUAGUAUAUUCUCCAUUUACAUGGUAUAUGAAAUAGAUGAACAUAUUAUGCAUAUGUACAUGUGUGAUUUGCUCUGUGGGUAGAAAUGACAGCCAUUAGGGUGGGAAUAAUGAAGCGUCUGCUUCUAUGAGAAGGAGUGAGAGAGAAAACACCCCGGAUCGAUAACUUAUAAGUAACCAGCAAGAAAAAGGGCGAAAAACGCUUUUCUUUUGCUUCAGUUCUCAAACAAGCGUUUCCCUGUGGCCUCACAUUCACGUUGUCGUGAUUGAGUGAAAACAAGAAGGCAGAACAUUGACUAGGCAACGUGUGGUGUUUUUUUUAUUGGUGUAUUUACUACAAACAUUUUUGAAAUGCCUUUAUGGUCAGCUGAAAAGUCAUCACAGAAUUGAUUCGAUGCAUAUAGUGUAAGGACAGAUUUUUUUAAAAAGCAAAAAAAAAAAAAGAGUCGGUAUGAGGGGCAGCAUGAUUGUUAAGCUUGUGGGGAGAAGCCGGGCACAGAGCCGUGGAGUGUUUUGUGUCUUUGUGCCUGUGGGGUGGAAGGCACGUUACCUUUGUCUGGGAACAUCACACGUGGGCAGACCAGGUGACGACUUCAUGCAGUGGUGAUACCUUGAAUGUGGUAAGCAGGACUACCUAGAUCUUUGGGAGGUCUCAAGGAUAGCAGGAACUCCACACAGACCCUAAGAAAUAGGGCUGGGGCGGGGGGAGAGAAAUGAGAGUGAGACUGGGUUCACGCCCCCUCUGCAGAGAUUCUGUGCAUGUACAGUGAGCAGCUAGUAGAACCCCACCCUCCCCACCAGUGGUACUAUCUCUAUGUGGCCUUUUGUUUAUUGUAGGUGGUGUUGAUGCGAAGUCCCUGGGGAGGAUUAUGGUGUGUAUGAGCUUUUCCUGAUGGUCUGAAUUCUAUUGUGUUCCUACAAAAUACAUACACACAAACACACAUUCAUUAAACAGCAACCCCCAAGAGUAUGCAUUCCUGCCGUGCUCUUGAAAUUCACUUAAGAGGAAUUUUUUUUUUUUUUUUAAUCACCACUCCAAACCCUUACCCUUCAGAUCACUACUUGUGAUUUUUUUCCCCCCAUCUAGGAAGUGACCUUUUCUCUCUUGAUCAUUAAAAAGGGGGCUUUGGGGUUUGUUUGUUAGUUUGAUUGAUAGUUUAGGCUUGAAUAAAGUGGAAUAUUCCUCAGUAUCAGAAAUAUUUGAGGCAAACAUUCUAUUCCUAUUUGAUGUUCAACUAUUCACACACAAAAAAAAUUCCUCAUUUUGAUGAAUAAUUAAAAGGGAACUAUUUAAUAUAAAUGCCUUUACAUUGUAUUGUGGGCUGUCACGGUUGAGUCAAGAAGCAGGGAGAAAGUCAUUUCCACUUUGCUUAUCCUAUGAUCUUCUCUUGUUUAUCAGGGAUGAUGUAGAGAAUGGAAAUACUACCAGGGAGUAUUAGAAAUUACUUGUGUAGGUCUCUACUGGCACAAGAACCCAUUCAUUAUAUAUUUUUUUAAUGUGGCCAAAACUAAGAUGGAAUUCUUCAAGUGGCUACUGGUGUUGACCUCCUGUGCCCUGAGGUCUAGGACCCUCUGCUGCCAGGAGGAUGUCUCACAUUCCCCUUGGAAAGCAGGUAGAGUAAAAAGACCUGCCCACAUUUUGAUUAAAGCUGCCUCUAGGUUUACUUUAACAUGAUUAUUUGGGGGUUGGGAUAAUUUUUCCCUUAAAAAAAAAAAAAAAAAAAAACCCACAUCUUCGAUGUACUUGAAUAGGACUUGAUUUUUGGUUUAGUUUUGCAGAACUCAGCUCUGGGGAGACAGUGAAAUGUCUUAGGGGUUUCUUUUUUUUAAUGGAAUUUACGUAUUUUAAGCACUUUAUUUCAGGUCAGUGGCCUAUUUUACUACGCAAGAUGAUUGACCAAUGUUAACACAGCCAACAUAUCUUGGAAAGAAUAAAUUAAGAACGGCUCCGAGAAGCCCCAAGGGCCCUCAGUAACUAGUUUCUAAUAGAUUCAAAGACAAAAGUUUUUACCUUUCCUUCAAAAAAAUUUUUAUCCCAAAUACAGUGCUCUACUGGCUAAUAAUCAAUAAUGACUCAUGUAGGAUCUGAUUUGCAAUGAAGCCUCGGGUCUCUCCUCAAUAGGAUUUCUCCAUAAAAGUCCCCAUGUGGCUAAGGAGUAGAACAGGUGCUGUCCCCACUUUGUACUUCAAGGAUAAUAGCCCCAAAUGAAAAUUGUACAAUAGCAUCAAGGUUUUUGAAAUUAAGAGUGGGGUCCUCUCUUGAAAUGUCUAAAAAAUGCAUAAGGAACACUGGACACUAGAUACAGUUACACAGCCCAAAGAUAAACUUGUGACAUAUUCUUACACUUAUUUUAAAGCAUAACCUUCACACCAUUGCAGAACUGUCACCGGCACCUAAGUAAAAUGUGGCUGGGGUAGGAAUAGGAAUGUGUGCAAAUCUGGUCUAAGGGCUAAAUUUAAGCUUGGGGAUUGACCAGUCUGCGUUUCCCUUAAAUCCUAAGACUGUCACAGUGCAGAUGGAGCCUUGUCUCUACACGGAACAGAUACACUCAUCGCAUCCCAUGGUCAUCCUCUCACGCAGACCUCUCUCUUUACCCUGAGGAGUCUCCGUUCUUGCAGGCAAGCUAGAAUGCAGGAGGAAGGAGCACUGCUCAGGUCCAUUCUCCACCAUGUCAUGUCAUCUGUAAAGCAGACGGUCCCCCUCAGGCAGGGUUGUGCAUAGAGGGUUUGCUCUGUGUCAACAGAGUGUGAGUCAUGCAACAACUAGGAAGGUGGCAGAAGGGGAACCGUGUCUGAGGAGUCAUUUCUGACACGCUGGUGGGUCACAGGGGCAGAGUGAGACUCCUGCCAUGCCUCUGCCAGCAGCCACCUGGAAAGUCUGAUCCUUUGCCUUGGUUCAGUGACCGUGUCCAUGGAUCUCUCUUGGAAGACCCCCUGGUGGUUAGAGUCACCCCAGCCUUAAGGCAGUGCCCUCAUUCUCAAUGACAGCCCAGCAGGACUGGAAUCAGGCAGAGCUGCAUGAAAUUGCCAAUGGUCUGCCAUUCCUGACCUAUAAAAACAGUAGUUCCUGCUUCUUCCUAUUUCAAAUCUUGCUCACACAGCAACCACAUCAUGUAAUUCCCAUACCUGAAAAUGUCCUACUGGCUUCUCAGUAUACUCAGAAUAAAACCUAGGCUCUUGACCGUGGCUUCCUCUGCAGUCCUCUAGGACCCAGCCCUCUGCCUGCACCUGCUUCCUGUCUCCGUGCUUUCCGGUACCUCCCUCUUUUCCUCUCAAGCUGGCUUCCCAGCUGUUCCUAGAACUCACCAACCAUUUUGUGCCUCAGGAUCUUUGCACGUGCCCCUUGCAUUCCAUGGCCGACGACUUCUUGUAAUUCAAACCUCAACAGCAAUUUCACCUUCUGGGAAAGGCCAUUCUUGUCCUUACAUCUAAAGGAAGUCUUCCAGUCCCUUCCAUUUUCUUCCAAGUACAUUAUCCAUAUCUAAAAUGUCCCUUUUUAUUUGCUCACCUCUUGUCAUUUCCUUCAUGAUAAUGGAGGAAGUAGCAAGCACCUUGCCUGUCUUGCUCUCUGUUGUGUCUCCACAGGUGCUUAUCAGGUAUUUAUGGAGUAAACCUAUUGGACGGCUUAUGUGCCACUGCAAAUCUUCUUAGCCUACAGCCUCCAUAGAGCCUAGCAAUGAGCAAGCUUCCUGAAGGUUCAGCUAGGAGAGCCUUGCCUUUUACCCCACCCCGAUGCUAGCCAUCCCCCUGAGGUAGGACCCCUCAGUGGCGAAUGAUAGGGGCUGGCAGAGAUCUGUUCUUCCCGCUCAUCCUCUACUGACAGUUCUGAAGCCCAGUUGUUUAGGUUCCCUCCACUGUCCUUGUAAGAUUCGGCUCCAGUCACAGUGACACUCAGUUACUGGAUGCGUCUUCUACUUCCUUGGUCUCUCCCAACCCUUUGUCCUAUCCCUACUCCUAUAAACUGUCUUCCCAGGAGUCCGUGUCUUAGAGCUCUUGGGGGAACCCAGCUGAAUGAGCUCGAUGAACCUUGUAGAGGCCAGAAGAUGAAAUGGUUUGCAUAAAUUUUAGAUCCUCAGUCCUCAUUCAAUCAGUUGUUAUGGUACCUGUCCAAUCUGGUACCAGCUGACAGUUCAUAAGGACCUCUAGUUUUAAGUCAGAACAUUUGAUCUCACAGCAACCCUGAUGGUAUCAUCCUGUUAUGAUCUGGAUCCGAAAUGUUCCCCGCAAGACUCAUGUGUUGAAGGUCUGGUCCACAACGCAGCAGUGUUCCGAGGUGGGGCUCUUGGGGAGUGAUUAGAUCUUGAGGGCUAUUAACCCCUAUCACUGGGAUUAACCCAUUAAUGAGUCCAUAAUUGGAUGGCAUUAUUAGGAGGUGGUGGAAACUAUAGGCGGUAUGACUUAUUUGAAGGAAGUAGGUCCCUGUGGCUUGCCCUCCAAGUACAUGUCUUGUCCUCCACCCCUUUCUCCCUUCUCUUUUUCUUUCUGCUUCCUGGCUGCCGUGAGCUGAGCAAAUUUUCUCCACCAUGCCCUUCCGCCAUGAUAUUCUACCUUAUCUCAAACCCAAAGCAAUGAAGCCAGCCGACCAUGGACUGAAACCUUGGGAACCAUGAACCAAAAAUAAAUCUUUCUUCCUCUAAAUUUUUUUUCCUAGGUAUUUUGUCCCAGAGACAAAAAGCUGGCUAACACAUCCCCAUUGAAUAGACAAGGAAACUGGAACACAGUGACCUUGAGUCACUGACUCAAGGUCGCCCAGCAGUUAGCAACAGAGCUAAGUGCAGGUGGCCCACAUCCAGGACUGGUUCUCUUAAUCUCCCCAUAUGACCACACUGUCCUAUCUCUUGACUUGGCCUUUCCUGGUAACCCAAUCUUUCCUUCUAAAGUCCCACUGACCCUGUUUUUCCUCUUUGCCGGAAUCCUAAGGUCUCCCAAAGUGGUAGGAGAACCCAAAGGUACACUUUACCCCUCUGACCCCAGGUGUGAAUUUCUGAAGGGAUCGUGCAGGAGCCCACUCUGUGCUGCCCUGGCAUUAAUCAUUAACUUGCAUUCAGACCAGCUGCAUGGACUGUGUCAUCCUAAGGAUUCUACUUCUGCAUUCUGUGUGGGCAAAGGGCUUGGUGAGUGGAAUUUCUGUGCUGCCUAGUCCAGCCCUGGGACAAGCAUUGCUGCCCCUUUCACGCCAUUUCCUCCUCUUUAGUCCUCAGAGAGCCUCUUGCAGGUUGUGCUAAGGAUUAAAAAAGACGAUGUUUUAAAGAGCCAAUGACACCUGGCUCUUGGAGCACUCAGCAGAGUGGGGCUGUGAUUGUUCAGUUAUGCUGCGACACUGGACUUGUGCUGGCUGGAUCCAGGAAGCGGGGCUGUCCGCCGAGUUGUAUCUUUGAGAACACCAUUUUGUUUCUUCCCUGUCUCUGAGUCAGAGAAGAUGGCAGUACAAGAAGGAAGGAGACCAGCCAUUUUCUUUCCUCUUCUUCCCACCUGUAAACUCCCUACUGCUGUGCUGAAGCCUGCCCUGGCUUUGCUUUCAUUGUUGACAUCUCACACUCGAGGCAUGAGCCUCUCUUCUUGCAGUGCAUGGCAUACCUGCAGGACAGUUGGGCUCGCAGGGGAGGCACAUGCGCUGUGUGAGCAGACCCUGACCUGUGCUGAGAUGUGGUCCCUGUGAGCACACUUCUCUGAAGCAGGUGAGUCAUCCGUGUCCUCGGAUACAGAGUCUCGGAAAGCACAUCCACAGGUAGUCCCUUCCAACUGUGGGCAUUGCCUUCCCCCAUCUGCGAAGGGGUGAAAAUCAGCGCAAAUGGGUGACAAACGCACUUAAAGGUUUCUUUCCCAGUCUGUGCACACGCAGGUGGAUGUGCUGUCCACCCACUUGCUGAUCAGAGUGAUGUGGUAUUGGAAUUUUUAGUUGAGGUUUAGUGGGAGUUUGUAGUUGCCAAGGGUGUUGCCCUGCCAGGGACAGAGUACUUUCUGGAGGGUGUGUAUUAGCUUCAAGAGGCACAGAAAUAGCUUGGGGCCAAUGGUUAGGGCAGGUUGGCACACCUCAGGCUUCCCCCUGAACUUGACAGUUCAUGCUUUAGGCCGUAUUGCAUCAGAGAAAUAAACAGCAUUUGGGAUACAGCUCUAAAUUCUAUGCCGAUCAUGGUAUUUACAAAGCCCAGGAAUAACAAAUCAGACAAAUUGAUUAAUAUGAAAAAUAAGGGGUCUUUCCUUGCUAGUCUCUUCCUUUGGAGAAAAAAAAAAUAGAACCUUUGAAUAAGCCAUAGAUAAAUUGUCUUGAUAUCUGUUAUUACUUUGGAUUUCUAAUGUAAAACAAAGUCACGCUUUGAGAAACUCAUUUUCCAGCUUUUAUAUUCAAUUUGAAUGGAAGAUACUAGAGUUUUUAUUGAACAUAAGUGGAGGAGAACAGGCCUUCUUCUUCUAGGUCUUCUACCAUCUAUUCCAAAAGAGUAUACUGUUUUUCUACUUGAGCCCCUUUAAAUCCCAUAGAUUCAAAUAGUGACUUUCCUAGUAGAGGAAUUUGUUGACUAUUUUCUGAGUGUUUUUUUUCUUUAAUAUUAUCUUUAAAUCUUGCUCUUGACUGUGAUUCUCAUUAGCACAUCAAGUCAGGGUUUUUAAAAGCAAGGCUUUUUUUCUCUUUCUUUCUCUUCCUUCUACCGGGGCGUGUUCAUCAAUUGUACAGUGCUGUGUGUGUUUCUGCUCACAGCUAGUGAGCAAAGCCAUCAACGUCUUCUGAGCAAAAAUCUGCAUGUAGUCUCAAGUUUAUGUAGAUCAGGCCAAUCCCUGAUCUUUUCUGGGCUUUAUAAUUCCAAUUUAUUCCAUCCUCUGUCUUAUUUGAGGAAAUGUCUCUGUGCUUUCAAGCCACACAGGAGAACUAGGUCAAGUGUUUUAGAUCUUUUUCUUUUCUUUUCUUUUUUUUUUUUUUUUUGUUGUUGUUUAACCAGAUUUUCAUGUUUCUAAAAAACCUCAAAAUGAAAAAAGAGAAGCAGGAUUGUGAAAGGUGAAAUCAUUAACUGGUCAUCAGAUGAGAAGUACAAAAUUACCAAUAACUUAACACGCCAGUGUAAAUAGGGGAAGUGCAACUGCCAUACAUGAUUUAUUCAAAUGCUUUCUUCAUUAUUCCCUGUUCACUUUCAACAGGAGGUGAAUUGGUCCCGUGCACAGUGAAGAGGCACUUUGCAUAUGAAAUGCUUGACUUUCUCACCCCCACUUUCCACCAGAUUCUUUGUUCCUGCACAGGACCAUUCUGAAAUGUGUCAGUUCCUCUUGGUUAUUGUUUUAAAAUCAUAUUGAUAUCAAUGUGAUGUGAGCGAGAUGCCUUGCAGAUUUGGGUUGCGUUGGGAAGAAGUAAAGCAGGGUAGCUUAGGUCACCCUACACCCACACCAGGAGCACACCUAUUGUUGGCUUGGUUCCUGAAAUGGUGGUUUAAAUCUGGGUCGGGUGGACUUGCCAGAUGAAAGAAGUUCAUGGUCAGUCAAGAGACUGUGGGAGUCAGUGGGAGAGGAAUGGAUAAAUGGGAAGACAGAGGAGUUAAGGAUCAGGGGUGACUCCCAACACUGGCACAGCCUCCUACCCAGGGACCCAGUGUUCUUGUGAGAUCACUUGUGGGGAGAUUCAUGUCAAUUCAGAUCCUCAGGCCACCUCUCCCCAAAUCUGAGGUUCUCUCUCGGUAGACCCUCAGGUAGGCUUGGGAUUCUGCCUUUUAAGCGCUCUAGUGACUGUGACUAGCAGCCUGGUUUCUUAGCUUCAGUUUUCACAUCCCUAAAAAAGAGGGUAAUCACAUCUAUUUCACAGAGUUGUUGGCAGGAACUGAAAGAAUGUGUGGGAAAGGGCCGUGGGAACCGUGAAGCGAGACAGUCUAGGACUUGCUGGAUUAGUGGGUUUGAGUCUCAGCCUCCUCCUGAAGGAGUUUCUGCUCUCUGCCCAGAUGGAGGUGGACCCUGGCAUGGAUCCCGAACGCUGAAAAACAUUUUGUCUUCGGAGGCAGCCCAUUCUCAAUCUUCAUCUUUCCUCAUCAGAAUGCCCAGAAAGACCUUCUAGCCCCUACCUCGUGUCUUGCUUCCUUCCUUCUUCUCCCCACUCCCUCCCUCCUGCCUUCCUUUCCUCAAAUAUAUAUUGAGUACCCAUUGUUCUGGGGAAAGAGAUGGUUCUCCCAUCAUUUUUCAACCCAGGCGAGGUCCAUGGAAAGAACAAUUUCAGUCAAGAUUUCGACCACUUUUCCAAUAACCUCUAAGAUAGUAUUGGCCAUAAAUAUCUAAAAUGAGAGUCCUGAAGACUUCCUAAGAGACAGCUGGUGGCUCAGAGGCCAUCAAACCCACAAGGAUAGGCUUUCCCAAGUGUCAUUGUAUAACACCUGCCUGUUGCUGGCUCCCAUAGGACCCCAAGAGAGACUCCUGCCAUGGACCACCCACAACUGUGUUCUUCGUUGGAGACACCAUCAUGCUCUGUCACCUAGAGUCCCAGGACACUUUAACAUCAAUCCCUUGAAAAGAUAUCCCAAGUUAUUUUAACUUACUAGAUCACAAAAACUACAAACUAGAGAUGUGAGUUAACGGAAUCGCUUCGCAACCAUUGUGGGAUGGUGGUCCUUUCUCCAAAUACUAUUUGACACUAACAAUAUGGUGGUAUAUGCUCAUCUGUGGAAGAAAACAUAUGCCGUGCUGCUUACGUGAAUUAUCUCCUAGGGAUUAUUGGAAGAAGUAUUGGAUACAGGUAUUGAGGGGGGCUAGACGUGGAGGUUAGAUAGCCUGUCUAAGGUUAUCCAGCUGGGUGAACUAGCAUUUUAACAUAAGUGCCCCUAAACCCGGGGCUACUCUGCCUCCCCCCGGCAUGGAUCUUAAACAGAUUCAGCCUUUAGGCCCUUGAAUGAGGGAUUUAGUCACUAAAAUAACAGAAGGAGCUUGCUGAAAUAGUCUGACUCAGCCUGCCUCAGUCAUUUCCGUGAAGCGUUCAACCCUUAGACAUUUGUCACACAAUGAGCCAGCUGCUCUCAGUGCAUUGGGAUGGUCCCAGGUAUGAGCCAUCUUAAGAAGAUUGAGGGAAGAGUCUCUUCAAAGCUUUCCAGUACCUUUAAAAAGAAGACCUAGAUCCUCUGCACUGCUCUCGGGGCUUUGCCCUGCCUACCAGUCAUUCACAAGCCACAUCGGCCUCCUUUCAUUUCCUUGGGUGAACCAUGCUUCCCCCCAAGGCAAGGUUCUUGCCUUGAAAUCCAGCCCCCUUUCUCUAUCCCUGCUCUUCACAUCUCAGCUCAAAAGGCCGUUCUUCAAGAGAGUCUUCUUUGUGUCACGAUUUAAAUAGUCCAGUGGGAAAUAAAGUCCCAUGGGGCUGUCUGCUGACUCUUGUACCUUCAAAACCCUGACAGUGCCUGGCACACAGUAACAUGUGCUGUGUGCUUAAUAUAGGAAGGAAGGCAGGGAGCAAUCGGGAGCCCUAAAUAGGACUUGGAUUUUGUGACUUGUCAAUCAUCCCAAAAUAAGGGGCUGAGGAGGUCCAGCCAUGCAUUUCCCUCUGUAUUUCCUACCAAAUCUUUAACAUUCUUGUCCCUGACUGACGGACGGCCUUCUCCCUGGGCCCACUCUUUGCUGCCUCAUCUCUGCUAACAGCACAGCCAGCCACCAGGCUGUCCAAGCCACGGGGCUUGGCAUCACCCUUGACUUCGCCCUCUCCCCCCGACUGCCCAAGGCCCUCCGAUUGAUUCUGCUUCUGUCACUUCUCCAGCACCUCCCUCUCAGACUGUCCCCACAGCCCCAUCUGUGCUGGUCACCUCAUUCCUGGCCUCCGCUUCCUACCUGUUCUCCCUGCCUGUACCCAUGGAUCUGAUGACCUUUUGAAUCCUAAUUCAGUCCUCAUAGGUCAAGGAGUGGAAACUUGGCCUUGAGAAUUGUAGGUGACUUGUAGGAGGGGACUAUUCCUGGCCCCAUUUCUUUCUUGAAAACUGCAAAUGCUUUCAUUAUUCAUCUUAUAUGAAUAAUGGUGGGGGUGGGGAAGCUGGGUAGUUCAAAGUAGAAUUUUUAAUAUUAUCAUUUUAUUUUUGGAAAUGGGAGAAAAGCAUGAGGGGAGCUGAAUCAAAGCUUGGCUGGUGGCCUCAUGUGGUCUAUUCCAAAGGACACCACUCCAUCUCCCUUGGUAUGAGUGAAAGAGGGCAUUUCAGAAUCAAGGGGAAGAAUGGGAAGGUUUUUGUUAUUAAAGGAGGCAAGGAUUAAAAGUGACCAAGUAAUACUGCAUUCAUGGCCUUGAGUUGCCCCAAAGGUUUGUCCUUUCUAGGGGAUGGAGAGGGUACACUGCACAGCCCCCCAACCUGAAGCCCAGAACACAUUUGCCGCACCCUAGGAUCAAGCUGCUCCUGUUGGGCAUGCAUCCCUGAUUCAGGCCCAGUCUCCAGCAGGCAGCGAGAAAAAACCUGUACCCCGCCUCCCCGUGCUUCCUGGCAUGGUAGCCUGGUUCUAUACAUGGUGCUCCUGGCCUCGUCCAGUCGUGUCCCCCACCCCAUCGCCUUUGUUACUGAACCUCCCUCUGCUCAGUGGGAUUUGCCCGGAGUGGGAGGGAGGCAACCAAAUGUGAAGUCUGAAGCUUUUCACAGUCCUUGCCUGUGGCCAAGGUUCUCAGAUCCCAUCAGUACUGUGGAUUCCUCCUCUCCAACAUCAGCAAGCCUGUAAUUUUGUAUUAUAGGAUAUUACGGGUCUCACAUUACAGGUAAUUUCUGUUUUACGCCCCUGUCUUCCUCACUGAAGUCAGAUCUUCUUAAGACCAGGAACUGAUACAUCCUGCUUUGUUUCUUUAGCAUCCAGCACAGUGAGUGGUACCCUAAAAACUGGAUAGAUGGAUGGAUGGAUGGAUGGAUGGAUGGAAGGAUGGAUGAAUGGAUGGAAGGGUGGACGGAUAGAGGGAAGUAUUCCUGGCUACAAGAUGAAUAAUAAAAGCAUUUGCAGUUUUCCUGAAAGACAGAGCCCAGGAAUAUCCUGCCCCAAAACUCCUAUGAAUGUGGAUAUCACCAUCACAGUCCUGAUUAUUCAUUGUGAAAGGAUCAAAAACCUUCGGCUAAAACUCUGAUUUUGUUACCUACACAGUUACUCUGUGUGGGAGAUCGUCUUACUCAAUUGGCCUUCUUUGCUGGUGCCCCUUUCCUGCCCUGUCCUCAGAAUUCCAAGGUACCCCUCCUGCCUGGUUGUUUUUUACUUGCCCAGCCUCUUCUUGAUAUCACUGCUCUUUUCCUGGAGGUGAAGUCCACACCCUGAGCCCAUGGUGGCUCCUAGGUCUGUCUGUGCCUCAGUUUGCCCUGACAUCCAAGCAAGGGCAGAACCAGCAGAGCCCUUGGCAGAGUUCUCUGAGGACAGCAGACCAGCACAGGGCAGGUGCAGGCUGCAGGGUGAGCCCAGGGAUGAGUUUUUGGAGGCUGUGGGGUACUAGAGCCCCACCCCCCCCUUCCCUGACAGUGUGGCUUCAACCACUCUUCCUUAAUAAUUAAAUAGUCCCUCCUCCCCCAGCUUCUUAUGAUGAAGUUUCUGGGAUAAGAGAGAAUUCACUUUUCGGCUUUCUUUAAUGUGGUCUCUUCAGGAACAUUAGACAUUUUGAUAUAAAGACCGAAAAUCAAAGAUGACAUCCUAUUUCAGAUCUUUUUUUUUUUUGAAAGAAGGAGGUUAUAAGUAUAAAAUCCCACGCAGUAAAAGCACUCAUAGCUAUAGGGAAUUAAUCUUAUUUUUAUUUGGAGAUAAAACUCCAAUUUCCCAUCAUUUAAAUUCAGACAUCGAAGGACCUCCUCCUACAUUUUGAACAAUGUACUGUUUUAUAAGAUAAUACUAAUGAUGAUGAUAAUAAACGAUAAGGUGAUCCCUGAUUGAUUUUUGUGCCAUGUAAAAAUAAAUGUUUAGAAACAAGGUCUUCCUCACUGAGAAAUUACUGCUGUGAAAUUCUAAAAUAAUUCUUCUCUCUCUCUCUCCUCUCCUGUUCUUCAUAUCCCAAUCAGAUGGCUAGAACGAUUCCUUUUGGCUUCCAGUCAGUGAUUUUUAUAUUCUUAAAACCCAGUUUCCAGCUUUCCUGUCUUGGGAGUGGAGCUGAAGGCUGCAUUUUCUCUGGUGAUAAGCUGCCAGCAGGUUUUCUGUCCCACAGCCACCCCCACGCCCUUUUGGGAGUACAGUACCUUUGCUUGUGCCUCAUUUCCAUAAUAUCACCACGUUUCCCAAGUGCUAUGUAGCACACAUUUAUUUUUUACUAUGUGUUUUUCCUAUGAAUCUAAAAGUAAGAUAUGUUCAUUUGAGACAAUUUGGAAAAUACAGAAAAGCAAAAGGGAAAAAUAAGUGCCACCUACAGCGGUACCCCCAGGGGAUGGCAGGCGCUACCACCUGCAUCUGAUUCCUCUCGUUUUGGUCUCUGCAGAUAGGAGCUGUAAGGUGGAGUUCCACUCCACAGCCAUUUCGUUUCCUGUCUUCCUCCCACUUUCCAUUUUCUGUUGAGCAUGUUCUCCUGAUAUUAAAUGUUCUCUGAAGACAGAAUUUUUCAAUACAUUAGCAAUAGCCUACCAUGUGGAAGUACCUGAAUUUAUCUAAUUGUUCACCUCCUGCAGGAUGUUUUGGUUGUUUCUGAUUUUUCUCUAGAAUGAAUAGUGGCUGUUCGUUGUUAAUAAACCUUCAUGCAUGUCCCCGACCAGGUGCCUCUCCUCCUGUCACUUUUGAAAACCGAGGCCUAUUGCCCACACAGAAAAACACAGACCUUUCACGUCUAUUUUUACAUACAAAUGCACCGUUUGUUAUGUCACGUUUAAGGCUCCUUUUAUGCUUCCCUAGAAAUUAAUUUUGUGCUUGGUUGUCUGUUUGCCAGUAUUCAAACACAAGCUAACAAUCACCAGGGACCUUUCAUAUGUGGUCUCAUUUAAUGUGUGCAGGCACCCGGCGAUGGGGAUGCUGCUGUUCCAGUUUUGUAAUUGAGAAAAUUGAGAGUCCAAGCCCCUGAGUUAGUUUCCCAAGGUCAGCAAGCCAGUAAGGUGAGUUAGAACGGGAUCCCAAUAUCGCCCGCAUCCAGAGCUCGCUUGAGCUCAAUAUGAUGUUUUCUCUGAGACAAUUAGAAGUGAAAGCUGUCGCCAUCCUUCGACCAGGAAGCCAUUGGGUUUCAUUUCAUUUGUUUUUUCCUUGGAAACUAAAGUUGGGGAUCAGUAAUUGACUGCACCCACUCUUCUGGCUGUGGCUAAUAGUUGAAAUCAGUAGAGAACUGGCUCCGCGGCUUUCUGGGUUGGGUGGUGUUUGGCUCGUAUAUUUUUGCUCAGGGCUGCAAAGCAAUGUCGCUGUCAGCGAGUUGCAAGCCCUAGGCACCCCUCCCACACUCAGGCUUUCCCCAGUUCUGUUACCAAGAAGAUGAGCGCUUCUGAGCCCAGAACCUGAUGACAACCAGUUCACAAGUUGUCUCAGGCACGGUUGCCAAGGCACAGAGAGAGGCGGCCUUAGUUAAGGUACACAGUUUAGAAUGGGGACAUGAGAGAAACUUCCAGUCUAUUUUAUCCAGCCUGCCCAGUUUUUACAUACAUGACACUGAGCUUGGAGUUGACUGCCUGGGAAGACAAUCUUUGAAAGAGAGCCCUGGGACUUGAACCCAGGACGUAUUCCUCACAGGACAGGUGCAUUCUGGGGUGGACGGCCAGGACUCUUGAGAGGUCACUGCUGCCGCUUUGAGGACACGGCCGGAUGAAGGGCAGUCAGAUACCACAGUGUCCCAAGUGCAUUUGCUCUGUUGGGAAAUUUAACAUGAUGGAAAAAAUUGUCUUUCCCGAAUACCUCAGUGUCAAUGGCUAGGAUUCUAGGAUAAGCCAUUUGGGGUACAAUGGGAUGGAGUUAGGGGGAGCCCUCACCCCAAGGAGUAGGCCAGGUUAACAAUAGCUCGUUGAGUAAGUACGGUUCAAGGUGUGAAGUCAGUUGAUUCCAGGGUUCUGGUUUGCUUUGUUGGGCCAGAGCUGCGUAGCAGUGGGGCUGUGUAUACCCAGAGGCUCAUAUGCGCAGGGAGGUUGAGCCUCGGUUGUGAGUCUACACAAGUCACCCUCCUUGCACAUCAGCCCACAGCCCCUUGUGUGCCUGGGAGGAUGUCACUGUCUUAGGGUUCUUUCUUCCUCUCUGGGAAAGGAGGCUGGUCACUCAGCUAGCCAGUGGGGAUAAUAAUAAAGCCACCUGAGGGUGGGGCACGAGAUUUAAAUGAGCCCCUAGAUACAGAGCAGGUACAGUGGUGCCAGACUCCAUUGUUGGCUUUUAUUAUUUUCCUCUUCCCAUUACUGACCCUUAAUUCUUCUACAUUCCACUUUUUUCUUCUUUCUGCAAUUCUUCCACGCUACUAGACUCCUAUGUCCAUGUUCUUGACAAAAAGCGUAAGCCAUGCCGCUGUGCAAUAUUCGUAUUGCUUUAUUUAGAGAUUAGCCGCCUCCUUCUUGUGUGUGUGUGUCUUCCCUUGUUAGAAGACUUGAACGACAUGUUUGAAACGAUGGAGGCUGUCCCUCUAUUGGGCCCUUAGAAAACAGGAACUGCGGGGACACCUCAGCAUGUGGCCAGGAUGUGGCCCAGAGUAAGUGUUAGCAAUAGUCAGUGAUUUUCCUUACAAGGAACUUGUAGAAUGACAAGGUCAUUGGGGCUCAUGGACGUCCUCAGGUAAUCUACAGAGACACACUGGCAGCAGCACGUUCUCCUCCCUGAUGGCUGCCCUGCCUUCUUCCCUGGAUAGCAUUAGUUUUCAGGCCCUUUUCUUCCAAUAAGUGAUCUUCCUCUGCUGCAGAUAAAAAAAUAAUAAUAAUAAUGUGUUUUUACCUUGUCCUUCUUCCAAUAAUGUGUUUUACCUUGUCCUCCAUUCCUUUGUGGGAAAAGCAAGGAGAGAGCCGGAUACUAUGGCACAUGCCUGUAAUCCCGGUGACUCAAGAGGCAGAGGCUGGAGGAUGGCAAGUUCAAGGCCAUCCUGGGUAAUUUACCAAGACCCUGUCUUACAAAAUUAAAAAAUAAAAAUAAGAAGAAGUCUGGGGAUGUAGUCAGUGGUGGCGUGCCCCAGGGUUCAAAACUUAGUACUACCAAAAAAAAAAAACAGGAAAAGGAGAAGAUGCUAGGAGCCAGAAGUAAACAGUCCACUAAGAACAUCUGUCUUCUCUUUCCUGCCUGGGGAUUGGAGAUGGUGAGAACUAGCUCUAGGGUUUUUUUGUUUGUUUUGCUUGUUUUCUUUUUUUCCUUUUGGUUUGUGGCAUCUCUGAAGCAAAUACAAUGUCAGCAUUUCUUAUUUGCCGAACUGAUUGCUAGGAUAAAGGAUCUGAGUGCUAAGAGGUCAGUGUGGAACUUGCCCACCUAAGCACCUUCAAGCUCAUACCAGCUUAUCUUCCCUCCCCAUUCAGGUACAAACAAUCCAUCUGGGAAAUUCUGAUAGCAUACCUCGGGCUAAAUAUGGCUCCAGAGUUCAGGGAUGGUAGGUUCUAAGGUGCGGAUGAAAUUUUCUGACAAAAUCAAAUACAUGCAUCCUGCUACAGUGCCUUUUGUAAAACUGUACUAUGAAAAUAAUUUUCUGACUUUUUCCUCAUUAUAUAAUUAAAACUUAAAAUUUUCUGGCUCUAUAGGAAAGUGUAAGAAAAUGUUACAUAAUGAGCUGAGUGUGUAGCCCAGUGGUAGAUCACUUGCCCAGCACGUGUGAGACCCUCAGGUUUGAUCCCCAGCCAUGUGUACACACACACACACACACACACACGGAGAAUAAAAUAUUACAUAAAGGGGAUCAUAUUCUACAUGUGCUGUUAUUUUUUAUUGUGUACCUGUUCUAUUUAAAAAUAAUCCCUGCAUCUCUGCUUCUCCCACUAUGGCCACCAGUGUUAAUAGCUGCUGGUCUCUUUCCAUACUCUUCUACACGGACAUAAAGUCAUACGUCUAUGUAACAUAGAUAAAGUAUGAUAUGGUCAAUGCUUUAUGCAAAUGAAGUCAGUUGCUUUAUACUAAUGAUGUCAGAUAUGCCUCUCUACGUUUUACUUUUGUCACUUAAUAAAUUGGGCCGAUCCCUCCAAGUGUACACAGCCAGCCCAAACCCUCUCCUUUUGUGUGGCUGCAGAAUCUGUAAUGUAGAUGGACAAUGCUGGUCAGCAUGCUUCGUGGGCUGCAUUCCUUGCAUUUCCCACUUACUGCCCAAGCAGACUGCUGUUUUGGGCACACGUGUGCAUACUGUAAUGCCCACUCACUUUUCUUUCAGCAAUUUAUGCUGGCUGGAAUCCUCUCUGCUGGAAGUAAGAAAGAUCUGACUCAAGCUUGCCUAAAAAGUAAGGGCUUAAUAAUCACAAUAAAAGAGGGACACAAAUCCUAAGUAACAAGUAAAUAAAAUGAAUCCAGCAACUUAAGGACUCUAUCGUGACUAGGAAUUGCAGAGGUGGCUUUCCAUUGGAAAUUGAUCAGUGGAAUUGACCAUCAACCCAGAUUCAAAAGGAGAAAAGGUACUCAGUCAUCUCAGUAAGUGCAUAAAAAGUUGUUGUCAAAAAAUUUACCUUUAUUUCCGAUUUUUAAAAAAUUGUUAACUAACAUGAAUAGAGGACCUGCUAGAGGACAUUUACCCAAAAGUUACAGUAAACAUCCUGAAUGGUAAAGUGUAAUAUGCAGGAAAUAUAGCAAAGAUGCUUAGUUUGGCCACCUCUCUUUGACUUGUGUUCUGGUGAUCCUAGUCAUGAAAUACAACAGCAGAAAGAAAUACCAUUGAAAAGGGAAGAGAUUUCACUUUUUGAAACCCAUAUGGUAGUCUACUUAGAAAAUCCAAGAUGAUUUGUGGAAUUAGAAGUAUUCAGUGAAUUGGUGCCAGGUGCAGUCGAGCAGGCUUGUAAUCCCAGUAACUCCAGAGGCUGAGGCAGGAAGACUGCAAGUUCAAGACCAGCCUUAGCCUCAGCAAUUUAGCAAGACCCUGAAAUAAAAGUAUUCAGUGAAUUCGGAAAUUUUGAUGAAUACCAGUUCAAUGACACUCCUAAGCACUUCUAAAAAGAAAAUGAAAUUUAAAACAUUUCAUUAACUAUAAAAACUAAGAAACUCAGAAAUAAAAUUACAACCAAAGUGUGCGAUAUGCACGGAGAUGGUAUUAAAACCUCAUUGAAAGACAAAGAAUAUCUAGGUAGAGACAAACUAAUACUGCAGAAAGUGACAUGUUUCCCUAAAUUAACAGAUUAAUUUGAUGCAAUUUCAGUAAAAGCUUUGAUAAAAGUUUUCCACGGAAUUUAAUAAGCUGACCCAGAAAUUCACGUGGAAGACCAAAGAGCUGACAAAACCCAAGGAAAAAGAUACAGAAGCCAGCCUUGCACAGCGAGGUUGUCUUCAGGAAGAUACAGUUCUUACAAGAAGGUGGUUUGCAGAGAUCGACGUGUUAUAUUUGGGUUCCAUCCCUUCAGCGUGGGGCACGUCUGAGUUAUUUUUCAGGGGUGGCAUUAUCAAUCAGUGGGAGAGGGGCGCCAACUCAGAACACUGUGCUAGGAUGACUGGUUUUUUCAUACAGGGAAAUAUAAACUUAGAGAGCUUUCUCACAUCUCACACAAAAAUAAAUUCCAGAUGGAUCUGAGACCUAAAUGUAAAACAAAGUUUUAAAAUGUUUAGAAGAAAAACAGGCAAAUAUCUUUACGACCUCAGGGAGGGAAGCAUUUCUUCUCCACACGACCAAAAAAUACCACCAAGCCUAAAAAGAUUGAUAGAUUUCAUGAUAUUAAAGUUCAAACUUAUAAUGACCCUAGGAACCAUAUUUAAAAGGUGGGGAAAUAGGCCCCUCGUUGGGAGAAGUUAUCUGUCUGCAGCUUGUGACCAUCAACUAAUUCACAUUACAUCCAGGAACUCCAGGAUUCAACGAGAAAACCACUAAGCAGCAGGAGGAGCAGUGGCCAAAGGAGUUGGAAAACUGAUUAGUCUUCAAACAGAUGAAAAGAGUCUCAAUUAGUAAGUGGGGAAAAUGUAUGUUAAAACCUCCAAAGCCACCAUGAGCUAAAUGAUUAGCUAAAAUGUCAAAAUCUGAUAAAACCGAACCCUGGAGAACAGGCGGGAAGGGGAACCUCUCAUCUCUGGAAUGCAGCACUAUCAGUUCAGCAGUGUGGGCCCCACCGCUGAAUCUCAACAGCCAGCUGCAUCAUGUGGAGUUCUGCUGUAGAGGAACCCCUCCAGGGGUGCAAGGAGGUGCUCCCAGAUGUCAGUCACCAUAAUAGAAAUACAAAAACAACCCAAAUGUCCAUCUAUGGGAGAUGAAAACAUAUCUAGAUGGAAUGUCCACUCAUUGGAAUUCUGAGUAGCAAUUAAAAGGACAGGGAUCAACGUGGCUAAACCUCAGAAGUACAAGAGCGAUUGGACUUGCUGAAUUAUGUGUAUGUGAUCAUGCCAUUUAUUUAUUAUUUUUUGGUAUCGGGAAUUGAACUCAGGGGCACUUGACCACUGAGCCACAUCCCCAGUCCUAUUUUGUAUUUUAUUUAGAGACAGGGUCUCACCGAGGUGCUUAGCACCUUGCUUUUGCCAAAACUGGCUUUGAACUCGUGAUCCUCCUGCCUCAGCCUGCCGAGCUGGUGGGAUUACAGGACGGGCUCUUGUGAUUUAUUUUUAAAAACACUUAUGAGUCAAACUAUAUAAAAUAGGCAUAUGUAGGUUAAAAAACAGCCAAUAUUGGCUAAUACAAUAUAGUUCAACUUAAUACAUGUAUGAUAUAAAUAUUAAAAAGUGAGGGGAAGUUUACUUCCCAACUUCAGAGUAGUAGUGGUUGUGUUUGGAAAGGGAGAGAGAGGAGCAUUUUUAGGAGAAUCCACCGGAGAGCUUCUAAGGUGACUGCCAAGUUAGAUCUAACACAUGGAACUGAAGCCUAUGGCACAAUGUGAACAUAUGUGAACUCUUGAGUUGUGGACACUUGCAUAUUUUAUAUCUUAUUCUCUGUACAUUUCUCUGUGUUGAAAAUGAAUCAUAAAUUACACAGAAAACCAAUAAAAGGAAUUCAUUGUCAAGAAAGAUCAGUGGUGGGGGUGUAUACAGAUGUUCUUCAUAUUUGUGUUUCAUUCUCAGACUGAAGGCAAGAUGGACACAGUCAUUUAUGGCCUGGUGACUGAAAGCAACAACAGUCUAAGGAAGAGAGAGGCUUCCAGUGUGAACAAAUCUCCCAGAAGCCCCGAGAAAGCUUCUGCUUCAGUCUCAUAGAUCUGGAGUAGGUUACAUGUCCAAUCCUGGGCCAAGCUAUUGGGCUAGGAUAAUGCCAAGAGCUGGUUGGGCGAGACCUGUGUUCCCGAGCCAAUCACAGGCAAGGGAGAGAGGCUCCCUCUUAGACCUUAGAAGGAGCAACAGGAGGUCAGAUGGAUUAUAUAGGGGCAGGUGGAUUUAUGAAGAAGUCCAGCAUUCUGUUAAAAAAGAGAAAGGGAAGUGGGAGCAGAGUAGGUAACCACCCCAGCUGCGUCUUCAAAAAAAAAGAUGGCCGAGAGUGAGAUGAAAUGUAAUGUGACUUAUAAGUUGAAAUCUGUGUUAUUGAUUGCUUCUUUAAAAUUUGAAUUAAUUUGCAUUUCCACCAGUGAUAUUAAGAUAAACCUUAAUAUCUUUACCCACCAACAGGGGGAUUUCUCACCUAUCAGAUUGGUAAAAGGAGUGAUAAGUGAUGGUGUGUUGUUUUGUGUAUUUUCUACGAUCCCCAGGGUUGGGCAUCUUUCCUUGUGUUUAUUGGCCAUUUGAAUGUGCUCUUCUAUGAACUGUCCAUUCAUAUCUCUUGCCAGAAUAAGAGUCCUUGUCAUCAAGCUGUUAAACUAUGUAAGGUUUGGGUAUGUAUUCAAGACCUUCUCAGAGUUGCAAGGUGAGAAGAAUUGAUCGUCCAUACCUGGAAGCAGCUCAGUGGGUUGAUAAUAAGAACCACUCAACAAGCAGGACACCCUGGGAUGAUUGUCCCUGCUACUCUGUCCCAAUCACUUGUUUGUGGUAUCACAUUAGGGAACUGAGAGUAGGAAUGUGGCUUGCCUGUGUUUAAAAUGAAAGGGCUGCACAGCGGUUUGUAAGGGGCUUUCCAGUUGUGCUUUGUACCACUGCUUUGCACAGGAUUGGAGAAGCUUUGGGUGCCCUUGGCUCACCAGAAGUUCAAGUUUCCCUUCUUCCUUGUAGUGACCGCCUCUCACUGAACAGGACUAUCUCUUGACCAGAGCCUGUCUUCUGGGCAUCUUGGAAUCCUGGGUUCAGUCUGAGUUGGGUCUUUGACUCAUCUUGGAUGCUUCAGUCAGGAGGCAGAGCCUUUGCCAAUAUCAACCUUUCCCGAUUGCUCCUUGUAGGGUACAGGUGGGAAAUUCUGUUUCUGGAAGUAGGCUAGAUCUUUAUUAUCUUCAAAGCAGCCCUGUAACAGCAAAGCCUGACAUCAAGGCCAGGGUUUGACAUCUAGACUGUAAGGCAACAAACAUACUCUCAUUAGGUUAGCUGCAGAUUUUAGAAGACAUCUGUUGGUGUAUGAGGAUUCUUAAGAAUCCACUUGACACCCUCCUCAUUAACAUCUGGACAGACAAGAUGCAAACUAUGGAAGUCAGCUGGCUGGCAGGUGCAGGGGGCGCUGUUAAGAGGAGCUGACACAGGCUGGGAAGCCAGCUCCAAUGCUGAGCCCCCUGCCCCCUUCCCUCUGUGGCCAUGUGCCCACAGUAUGGUAAAUAAUGGGGUAACCCCUGCCAAGAACGACUCCUACUUCUUGCCUCCCCACAAGCCCUAGAUGCUCACCACCUCUCGGUAUAGUGACUUCAUAAAGCUAAGCCCUUUCUUAGCUUGGAGAACACCUUCUUCAGAGUUCUACCUGUUGCUACCUACAGACCAGAGCAGCUAGAGAAUUCCAGUAGUGCCCAAACUGCAAACCCCACCUGUCCUGCAGCCAACACGGGAGCUUCCCUUGUUAGUCUCCAAAGCAUUUGUGCAAAAUGGUAGAUGGCCAUUCAUUCCAGCAUUUCUGUGCCUGCCCCUCCUCUGAGGAACUUGCUACCUUUUCCUUGGUGACUAUGAAGGACAGAGAGAACCAGAGAAAUCAUCUUUGUGGCAUUUCAGUGUGGAUGGUGACUUUUGUUUCUUUCCUGGAUUUUAACAUAAUAAGACCUGUCUCAUUGUUUUAGGAACCUAAGUCAUUAUUUGCAUACAGUUGUUUCAUUGAAAUACCAUCCAGUCAGCACCCAGAGUGGGGUUUAGUUACAACACCUAUAAAAUGCAGGGCCCCUUGGGGCUGUGGUUGUGGUUCAGUGGUAGAACGCUCACCUAGCUCGUGUGAGGCACUGGGUUCAAUCCUCAGCAGCACUUAAAAAUAAAUAAAUAAAAUAAAGGUAUUGUGUCCAUCUAUAUCUAAAAAAAUAUUUUAAAAAACAGGGCCCCUUUAACCUGGUUCUCUUUAGAACCUUAAACUCAUAUUGUCAAUAUAACAGAUGUCUAUGGAGGGUACCCCACAUCCAGCUGGGUAAUUGAUUCUGAUCAAUCAAAAGGGGACUCUGCCAUGCCAUUAUUAAUGAUUUGGAAUUGAGGUUCUUCUAUAGAAAAAAACUAUCUUAGCAGAUAAAUUAUAUUUGGAUAUUUCCUAUUAUCACAUUGUUAUCUAUAUUUCACAUUUGAGUUAUUUUUCCCCCCCUCAAUCCAGUCAGGUUUUCAAAGGGUAAGGAAGGAGAAGUCUGUGUCCUACUUAAAGUCAACUUCUGUUAACUCGUUGCCUGCAGGAUACAAUGAAAAUGCCUUUGCCUAUGAAGUGCCUCCCAAGCAGCCAGCCUGAUCUAGGCUCAAGCAUUCUGAAUUUGUCACUGUACCCAGGCACACUGUACCUGUGCAUACCUCACUGGGCAUGUUUGUCCUCCCCAACCUGCCCAGGCUGACCAACUCCCCCUGCCCAGCACAUCCCGACCCAAGGUAGCUCCUGCCAAAGCCUUUCUGCUCAUUCAUGUUAAGGGCUCCUCUGCACCUUUCUGUGUCUUGUUCAACCCUUAUGAGAGCACCCUAAAUGCACAUUCUCUGCUCAUCUUCUUUCUUACUCACUGGUCUGUGAGCUCUUUGGAAGUCAGGAGUCUUUACUUUGAUUUGUAUUUCUAGCAUCAAGUUAAAAUAUAUAUCUCGAGUGAGAGAGAGACAGAGACAGACAGACACUGGAAGGCCACAGGUAUCUAUAAAACAGAUCACUAGAACAAGCCCAUGCAUCAGUUAUGGGAUCAGGAUAUCAACUCCUUCAUGUUGCUUCUUACUCCUAACAUUUGGGUGAGAUCAGGUUCUGGGAAUCUCAGUCACGGUUGGUGCCUCCACCUAGCAAAGGUGAAUUGGGAACUGAUGAACUUUUUAUGAGGCUUUGUUUGGGGUUCACAUUAGUUUGGGUUUGUAUUUUUUUUUUAAUUUUAUUUAUUUAUUUUUCAUAUUUGAUCUCCAUCAUCUCUCAGAUAUGAACGUUUCCCCAUGUCACCCAACAUUUCUAAUUGACUGUUUCCAGUCUGGAUGCAGCUUUAUGCCAAGGUAUUUUGACUUCCCUUGAUGUCCUAAUUGACAUCAGAUUUAAGUAGAAACAUUCAGAAACCUAUUCGAUCACUACUCUGACAGCUGUCUAUUUACACUUAUAGAUUUCUGAACAGAAAAAGAGUCGCUAAAACUUUCCUAUUUAAACAUCUUCUAGUAAAGCCAGCUUGGGAAAAAAUAAAAAUGGAAGCACUUCAUUCUUGGAGGUUCCUUGGACUCUAUGCAUCAGGGUUGAGGUCCCCAGUCCCAGCUGCCCUGAGGUCCUAUGGGAAGGGACUCAUGGCCCAGGGUAGGAUAAGUUCCUCCUGGUAAUCUGUGAGGUGCAAGUGCCCAAGUCCAUGCCACAUAACCAGUUGGAGGUUUCUGAGGUGCUGGCUGGUGGAGCCUUUAUUGUCCAUUAGGGGGAUGAGUGUCUCGGGAGCCCUUCCUUUGGAAGCCUUCCAGGUGGCAAAUCAACAUCAGUCAUACUGUAUUGGACACUUUGCUCUCUUAGCUGUUUAAAUUCCUGUACUAUGAUGGUGCAGGAAAGAUACAGAUCAUCAAACAAGAAUGUUUCUAUUCUCAUGUAUAAUGAAUCCAAUGUGGUAGUGUAGUAGUACGUGUACCUACUUUAUAAGUAAAUAUGCAGGUAUUGGCAGUAUGGUCAGAAUUUUUCUUUUACCGUUAGGGUUGUGUGCUCAAAAAAGUUUGGAGACAAUUACAUUAGCCAAUUGCCAUUAAUCUAGACAAGCAAGGAUCAGUUUUCAGUUAAAUGGAUACAAAUGUUAAGAGGCUUCAAACUAGGCCUCAAUUAUGUAAGUCAAGUAUGGUAAUUUUCCUCACAGCCUCGUGUAGUAUGUUGGUGUGGACUUAGUAGCACUUGGGUUGCUUCCUGCUGAAUCCAAGAGUGUGAGAUGUCAUAUUUGACAUGUAUCAUUAGCCUCUGUGUGUGCACAAUAGUGAAGAAUCUUCUGGGGGGGGGGGGGGUGUAGUACAGCCAAUGCUAUCAUUCUAUACAAAAGAAAAACGAGAGGUAGGUGAUAGAGAAGACCACAAUUCGUAUUUUGCUGCCUGGUUCAAUAAUUUUAUUUACAUGCAAACAUUUUGGGUUUAUUAAGUUGGAAUUUGGUGGUGUUUUAUAAUCCCAGUUUUCACCAAUAUGUAGCUUUCUUUGUCGAAAGGGUGAGAACAAGGGCUGGGAUUGUGGCUCAGUGGUAGAGUGCUUGCCUAACACGAGUGAGGCACUGGGUUCAAUUCGCAGCACUGCAUACAAAUAAACAAUAAAAUCCAUUGACAACUAAAAAAGUAUUUUAAAAGUGGGAGUGAGAGCAAGAUAAUGGAGGGGCUGGGGUUGUGGCUCAGUGGUAGCUUGCUUGCCUAGCACAUGGGAGACACUGUGGGUUCGGUCCUCAGGACCACAUAAAAAAUAAAUAAAAUAAAGGUAUUGUGCCUAUUUAAAAAAAAGAUAAUGGAGACAGAUUAAUGAUUCCAGAGGUCAUUUUUGGUGAUUUGGUUUCUUGAUUCUGAGGAUCAGACCCUGGAAAGUUGGUCCUUAUUUUUUACACUUCCUUUGUAGAAUCCAAUGAGAACCAACUCCACAUACACCAUGGUUCAGGUAGACCAGGGAGAAUCUUCUCACACUUUGGAAAACCUUAUCACCAUAGAAAGUCUAUGGAAGAUGUAUAGACUUGAUCUGAACCUGGAAGUCCUCCCAGCCAGGUGGGACCUCAGCUUCCCCUGGCUGAGCCUGUAACCAGCUGUGACCUACUUCUCAUAGUUUCAAGUUCUCCAUCAAAAGACUUCUGACUGCUUCAGAGAAAAUCCUGCUCCUCCGCCCCCAUCCCAGACAUAGGCAUUAGGUAAUAUUGACACGUGGAAUAUACUUCCUCGGGCAGCCUUAGAUUCCAACAAAACCAACAACAACAAAAACAUCCUCAGCCCAGGGAGUAAAGCAUAAAGGCACUUAGUAAUUGCCACCACUAUUAACAGGACAAGAUUAAUGGGCACUCCCUGAGGACCAUGGCAUAGACAAAGCAAACUGCCAGCUACAAGCAGCUCCCUGGCAGUCAGCGAAUGUCACCCCCUCUCUCCCGCUCCAGCGGGCUCAUCAGAAUGCAAGGGAUAUGAUUAUGUGGAGAGACCUGACAAAGCCAUUUUUAAAAGAAAAUCAUAUUCUUAAAUUUUUAACACUUUGUUAACUCUGAUUAGAUUCAAGUUGCUGUGUGAUCCAGCACUGUGCCUCAAAGACGGUAGCUAUGGAUAAUUGCCUUCCGAUUAUUAGUCUCACUGCUGAUCAGGCGAGGGCAGAGGAACUGGAAGGACCUUGCUGGACUCUUAUAAUCCAGCCAGCGUCCAAGAAUGUCAUCAGCAUCCAUGUUUCUUACACACUUUUCAGUUAAUAGGGCAGGUGUGUUUGUGGAAAGCCAUGGAUUUCUGACCCUCUGUCAAACAUCAAGUGCAGGAUCGAGUAGGGAGGAGGUCUUGAGACAGUCUCUGAGUGGUCCCUGGGUUCCAUCUUCAGUAACUGACGAGAUCUGGGAUGGAGGUUUCAGAGGUGAGCCAGCCAAUACAUAAGCAAUUACAGGCCCUGUUGACUUUCUUCUUUAUCUUUGGAAUGCAGUUUAGCAGGAAGGUUCUGGCUUCCAAAUAAUUCAAGUUUUAUCAGUCCUCUCUAGUGGCUGGGCCUUCCAUGGCUAAUCAGCUCAGAGCAACCCAAGAGGUCUUUGGUGAAUGGUCAUUUCAGCUCCUUGUAAAUACUUCUGAAUUGGGACAUUUCUCUAUGAACAGCCCAGAUAAACAAAGGACCCAGUGUAUCAGGUUUUGUUGGUAUUUUGACCAAGUUUGUUGAGCCAGCUUUCUUCAUACCAACCCAUUCUUGCAAUUCGAAACAUGACUGAUGGUAGACUCUGGCGGCUAUCUUCAGGCACGUGCUUUUAUAAUCCAUGGCCUUUAGCAGUGACCCUAGUCUUGUGGUCGGUCCCAAAAGCUAUUUUUUGUGUUUAGAUGAGGAGAUUUUCCUUGUCAUCCUAGGUACCUUUUACCGAGGUGUGCAGAAGUGAUCUGCUGCCUGAGGUCCGCGUUGGGAGAUCAGGUUGCAUCUGAUUGAUUAGUAAUGUCUUCCACAGACACAGAUUGGGACUGAUCUGCUGUCAGUCUAUCACCCCAGAGCCAGCCUUCUAACAUAAGAUCCCCCACCACCCAUCACCAGCCAUUGGGGGUUUCACAACAUCUUAGUGAGGGGUCCUGUUAGUGAGGACUCACCUGAGGUCACCAAGAGGCAGCCCCUGAACUCAGAGCAAUCAGUGUCUGCUCUCCCAAGUGAAAGGUGACUUUUCUACCCUGGAGUGUGUCCAGCCUGUGUUUUCAAGGUCUUUUCAGCAGCACAGAGACUGUGUGGUUCUGGGAAGUAUUUUCCCCAUGCAAGCAUCUGAGCUGAUUGCUGUUCCGUAGGCAGAACUGUCAAGUGUGAUCAGGGCUUCUCCCACAAAUCUCUUUCCAUCAGAGAUAACAACUUUUAAAAACAGAUUAAAUCCCACAGCAGCAAACUACGGGAGACUCUCUAGGUUCAUCGCAUAUAUAGGACAUGAUGAUGUCAGAAUAUUGACUGGGGCUCAGAGAUACUAAUGGAGAUCUUCUGGUAAUCGUUUUUUUUUUAUAAGAGGAUUUGGUUUGGGGAUAGAAUUUUGCUUACGAUUUUGGCCCACUUGUGCCUUUGCAUAACAUCCUUAAAAACUAGAGUAAAUAAGUGGAUAUAUUUUUAUUCUUCUUCUUUGCCAUGGGUAUAUUUAUAUAUCAUUAUAUAAAGGCCCUUUUAGCUCACAUCAGAAAGAUCUCUCCUACUUUCAAAGGAACUUUAUUGACAAAUUCAUUAGAUAGUUUUCAGUCUUCACAUUUUAAGGAGAGCUUAACUCUCGGGUUGGAAUACUUAAUCCAAUUUUAGAACUUCAACUUUCGUUCCACUCAGAAAUCAGCAUGUUGUUAAACUACUGAGAUUCACGCGUGGAAGGUACAAGGACUGAUGUGGACGGGUGUCCGUCCCAUGGCGUGCUCCGUGGACCGUGCUAAGUGGAGAGUACUGGUGUGUAGAGAAAGGAGCAUUUGGUAGGGACGCUGGUACCCUCUGGGCAUCUUUGCAUUUAUUUCUGUGACAUCCACAUUGCUACCUGUCGGGGGCAGUCAGUCACUGCAAGAUGCUGCAGAAUGCGCCGUCCUGAGCUGGGUUCAGCAGUUUGUCCAUUGUUCCUGGGUGCCUGUCAAAGGGCACAGCUCUCUGGGCUCUUGAGUAAGUGGUUGACUUGUGGGAUCAGUGGUAUGCAAGGAGCCCCACUGUUCAGUCCGUGCAGCGGAUGCCAGGGGCUCCACUGACUUGGGCACUGUUAAGCUACAGCCCUGACAUGACUGCCCUCUGUCUUCAAGUUGAGUGUCCUGCCCUGCACCUGGUGGGACCUCAAUACGUUUUUUGUUUAAUUGAAAUGAGUCCUUCAUCCCUGGUCCUUAUCACUGUCCCAGCGGAUGAGACCAUCACAAAGGGCUUUCCAUUGAGCCAUUGGUGGCUAUGAAUCAGUCUUUGGGACAUCCCCAGACAUCUCCAGUAUUGAUGUGGCUGCUCAGCCACCCUCCCAGUUAGCACAUCUGCCCUGUCACUGGCACAAAGGACAGAGCCAAGGAGGCUCUGGACGGAGUCUGGUAUAAUGUUCUCCAACAAGUCCCUCACUGUCCACGCCGCUGCUGGGGCAGAAUGCCCCAUGCACCUGCAGUCCUGGAGAUGUGUUUAGUCUUGAGCUUUAGGUCCCUUUUUUUUUUAUAUUUUUUUAUUAAUAAAUCUCUGCAGCAUGUAAACAUAAAAUCAGCUUUACAACUGUAAGCAAUCCUAUAGACUUGCCUGCCUGAUUCCUACCCUCACUUUACAGAGAAGCCACUAAAAGCAUGAUCUGAUAUGAAAUUCCAUUUUUUGAAAGGGCAUUUCUGAGUUUCAAAGACGCUAAGUUAAUACACACUGGACACUGUUGAUAACACCUUUAAAAAUCAUUUGUUGGUCUCUUCAUUGCCUUUGGGAAUAAGAGGAGGGGAAGCCUCCUGUGUGGGGGAUGCCAGGUCAGGGAUCAGAGAGGUGGAGAGUCUCAGGUCUCAGCCCAGGUCCAGGAGGAGGUCUCAUGGGAUGAAGAGAAGGAGGACAGGAGCUGGAGAAGGACCAUGCAGGAAUAUAGCCUGGCUCCCAGGCCCUGAGCCUUCCCACUGAGCUUCACUGCUGGGACUCCCUGGGGAUUCCUAAUCCCCCCUCAUAGAGCAAAGGAAAUGGUGACCUUGGAAUACCCACUGGGGGAGAAACUGAAGAUCUUGACUUAUCUAAGUGAGUUUAGCUGCGGUGGAGUGCUUUCAAGACAAGACUUUUGCCUUUGCAGUCAGAGUGGGGACAGGGAGUGCUCCCCUUUUAGAGUGGCUCACCCUCCCUCACCUGCCCCUUGGCCCUGCAUUCCCACACCCAGGCCAGAACCCACCUUCAAGGAGAGGACGCACAGUGCCCAAGCGCUCUGCAGACAGAUGUGGACUGCACUGAGUAUCUGCUGAUGUCCCUGCCAACUUGGGGAAAGCUAUGGCCACACUUCCUUGGGUACCAUCUACCCCUGCUCACAUGCAUAGCCCCCCCCCCAGCAGCAAAGCUCUGUGCCCACACCAGGGGAUGUUUAGAUGUUUUGCAGGCCCAUCCUAUCUGGGUCCCAUGCCAGCUCUCUGCCCUGACCCCUGCCUGCCCCAGGGUCCCUGUUAGUCCCCCAGCUCAACCCCUUGCAGAGCCAGGACCACAGUCUCCCUGACCCUGAUACUGCCAUCAGUGUGCAGCCUGGGCCCUUUACCCAGACCUCAUGCCCCACCACAGAGGAGGCCAACCUGCUACAACAGGACCAGGCCAACAGUGCUGCUGUUUAAGAGAAGCAUCUGCUAACAGAAAUGGAAAGGUCACACCUGAUACAGGACCCAACCCUGCAGAGACCACCCAUUGUGCACCUCUGCCCAGCUCCUGCCCUUCCACGAGGCAGAGGAUGUCUGUCUUCCUUCCUCCCCCAUCUGGAGAGAUGACCAGCCUCUGGAGCCAGCAGUUGAAGGACCCACCCUUCAAGUCCUCAAUCUGAGCAGCCAACUGUGGCAGUGUGAAGACACGUGUCCCUCAAGAAAUACCCUGCCAGCCUCAUCCUCUUGCCCUCACCAGUGACAGUGUCACCAGCACAUUUCAUAUUGCUGCAUGAAGAACUUUUGGACACAGACUCUCCCAUCAACUUCUCUGGUCUCCCCUUUGAAGAAUGACAGCUCUCGGUACUCAGUGUCUUCCCUGAGUCUAGAUCAUUAGGUCAGGAGAGCAGUGUGUGUGUGUGUGCCUGUGACACUCAGAGCCCAGGCCUCCUAUAAGGAACUUCAGCCACAUGGGGCUUGGUUUGCCCUCCUUCCCAGGACCCUGAGGGUGUCCAUUGUCACCCCUGUAGGCAGCUGCCUGAACAAGGAAACAUCCCCGUCCACAUGGAGCUGCACCCCUGACCAGAGCCAACAGCGUUGUUAUACAGUGUAGCCCCAGCCAGCUCUGUGUCCAUAAGGGAAACAGAAAUGCAGCUUCCCUUACAGCACAGAGAAGAUCUAAGUUGAUUUUUUUAAAAGUCACCUUUGUUAUAUAUUAUUAUUUUAAUCACAUUGAUAAAAAUAUUCCUAAUUCCAGCAGCCUUUUGUUUAGGAGUAUUGACCUUAUUCUAGAACAAGGCUCCUGUGGGUCCCGGCCAUGCUGGAGAUGAGUGAUCUUCCUGAGAAGUGCGCUCAGAGAAGCCAGGCCUCUCACUGCCCAUGAAUAGGAGGCAAAGUCAGGAUAGAACCCAAACUAAUUUCAUAUGCUAGACCCUUCCACAGCUGGACUGAUGUUUUUCAAAAUAAGGAAAAUCGCUGCCCCAAAGAUCCUUCCACUCAUAUCCAACCUCGGAGCCAUUUAGAACCAGAGAGGAACAGUAACACUUCUAUGCAGGGAUCGUGGCAAUAGGAGGUAGUGCAUAUAAACUCGGGCAGUGAUGGGCACCUAGUGGGACUCACCAUGGUGGCCACUUCCCCCCAUGCCCAUUUUUUAAUGCCAGGACUUGGACUUAUUUAAAAACAUGUUUUAAUUCAACUUAAAGCAUGAAAGAAGCCCUUGCCUAGAUAAUGUGGGCCAAGGGUGGGUCUGUGAACACCAGGACUCCCCUUCCCAUGGAAGCUUUUCUGCUCCACCUCUCCACCUCAGGAUUUGGCCCUCGCAUUCCCACCCCCACCUGCGCUAGAGCCCAGGAAUCUGGUGGUUUGUUGUUCACCUGCUUUGAACAAGCCCACGUUCACUCCAUGAUGAUCCACUGCAAGAAAUUCAUUCUAGUUUCUCUAAAUUAAACACAUGGUAUCUGCUUCUUAUUAAAUGAUAUAACAAAGAGGGCCUCUAAGGAGAGGGCACAUAAAAAAGCUCUGAUUGGGCCAAUUAAAAACAAUAUUCUGACUUCAUGCCUGUUACGGUUGAGGUAUGAGGUGUUCCCCCAGAAACUCAUGUGUGAGACAAUGUAAGAAUAUUCAGAGGUGAAAUGAGCAGGUUAUUCGAGUUGUAACCUAAUAAGUGGAUUAAUCCAUUAACUGGAUGGUAACUGUAGGCAGGUAGGGUGUGUGUGGGGGGUCCCUUUGGGGUUUACUUUUUGUCCUGAGCUGCCUUCCCAUACCACACCCUUCUGCCAUGAUGUUCUGCCUCACCUUGCACCCAGAGCUAUGGAGUCAGCUACCUGGGGACUGAGCCCUCUGAGACUGUGAGCCAAAUAAACUUUUCCUCCUCUAAUUGUUCUUGUCAGGUCUUUUGGUCCCAGCGACAACAAAGCUCAUUAAAACAUGCCCCUAUUGACAUGUCAUUACAAGGGGAGGGUCUCCCCCUUCCCUAGUUAUACAAGGGUUAGGAGGCAGACUGGAACCUCUAAGAAGGGUUGACAUAAUCCCUACUGAUGUGUGUCUUAGGGUGACGACCCAGAGAUGCUUGCCUUCUCCCUAUAUGCCUGAUUAAGCCCUGGACCUUCCUGGGAGCUCGGUGGCCAUGGCCCAUAGCAAUUAACCUCCAGCUUCCCAGGGCUUCUCUGGUACCAGGAAGCAGAGCCCAGGUCCCUGCCAGCUACAGAUGCCUCCUCUCUGGCUCUUGCCUGCUCAAGCCAUGGAGGUGCCCAUUACCCUCCCCUAUCUAGCUUUUCCCCUUUGGGUUUUGAACACUUAACCAUCAAAACCUCUGCUCUCACUCCAGUUGCCAAAAAGCCUCAAGCUUUCUGCUUCCUAGAUUGUCCCCAGGGGAAGGGGACUAGGAAACCACCAUCUUCCAGCUGGCAAGACAAGGCGGCUGAGUCAGUGUUCCAGGGCCACUCGUCCUGCUGCAUGGAUUUGCUUUAUCUGCCCCAUGAGGUCAGAAUCCUCCAGGGGACAGGGACAGGGGCUUAUUUUCUUUUCCUUCAUUUUGACUCACCACACCUUAUUGGACGGGGGGAGUCUCACGAGCAUCAUUAACUGACAGUCCCUUCAUCCGCAUCCACCUCGUGCACAGGAAGCUCCAGGUUGUAUCCCUAUAGGAACACAGUUGCCCACUGAAGCCUCACAUCCUCAGGAGAAAGGUAGAAGUUGGCAGCAGACAGGGAGCAACUUUGGAGGAGACACUGGCAAGGGUCCAGGGGGAGCUGUGUGGCUCUGCAAGCCCUAGUAUGCACACUGUCCAGGACGAAGCCUGAGGUGCUGCUAGAAAGCUCAAAGGGCAGACUGGAGCUUUUGUAUAUUGAGACUGUUAACAGGGAACCAAAGAGAAUGAUCUGGAGUUUCUUGCUGUAAUGUCCAACUUUCUGCUGUCAGGGGUCUGCCAGAGGUAGGAGGUGGUGAACAGGUGAAUGAGACACCACACAGAGACAGGUAUGGGGACCAGGCAGGAUCCAAGAGCAUCACAAGGAAAGUCAACUAGAUUAUCAGACACAGUUCUUUUUAAACUGGAAGGAGUAGACUAUUGGGGUAGGGGGAGGGAGACAGUGCAGGAAUGAAGAAGCAUCUAAAAAUAAAGAGAUGACACUAAAACCAGAAAAAUAACCCUGCAUUCUUUUUUCGAUAGAUCCAGAUUUUUAAAAGCAACACUAACACAGAGGAGAUGAAUGGAGCUUUCUUUACACAGCACUUAGGGCAGCCAUGGCAGAUUGAUUGAGCUUGGCAUCUGAGAUCUAAUCAACGCCCAGCAAGAGUCCUAUAAUUGAUUAUUAAUGUCUGCCAAGGGCAUGGGAAGGAGGAGGGUGGGCUCAAUUGCCAUGCAUCUGCUAUCUUCCCUCUCCCGUCUUCUCCAAACCUUCCCUUCCAUCCCCAACCCCCAAAAGAUUUUUAGUAAAGUAAAAAAGGGAGAACCUAGUUGGUCCAACUGUAUGUAGUUGCAGUAAACUAACCUGGGCAUUCAUUUCAUUGUUCACUCAUUCAUUCCAAAAGUUAUUGCUUGUAACUAUACAGAGGCAUUUGGCAGAGUACGUUGGAGAAUAUUGAAAAGAUUCACUGGCUGCUUCAAAUACCUUCCCAUCAAAUUCAACAGAUAGAAUGUGAAAUAUAAUUAGUUGCAAUACAAGGCAAUUUAAGAUAAAAUAAGCAUGAGAUUGAGUUUCUGAAUGUUAGAGCUAUUUGUUCAGUACCUCAAGAGCACUUUUUAAAUGUUUGCACUUUUUUGUUUUGUUUUGUAAAAAUUUGAAAGAAGCUAGUCUUUUCCCUUCCAAAGGGGGGGGGGGCGGAAGUAAUGUUCUGAUAAAGAAGCAUGGUAGAGAAAAUUCCCUGAAGGGUCAAAACAAGUAAGCUAAAUAUUCAAACUUUUGACAGAGGUUUCAAAUAGGCCUAUAGAAUGCAUUUUUUUUUUCUUUCAGUGAUAUUUAAUUCUCAUUUUUAACAUUUUUUUUCUUUCUAAAACUACUGGGUUGUUUUGGGACAUCAUUAUUCUAUGAACUAGAACCUCAGAUAGAAUCUCUGCAUUCUUUUAGCUAAUCCUUUCAUUUCUUCAAACCAGCAGUAUUUACCUGAUUGCAGCAACCUGAGAUGGACCAGCCUACAGUUGUUGUAGGAUUGAGGAGAUGGGACUGAGCCUUCCACUGAAAAAGUAUGUGUUUAUGUAAGAAAGCCAAGUUGCUUUGAGAAGUGAAAUUGUGGUCUUUUAUCACUUUCCUUUCUUCCACUCUCUGGAAAAGAGGACAGGACUUUGAGUCAGCCCAAAGCUCAGCCGGUGCCAGGAACAGCAUAUUUGGAAUAUUUCUUGCACUUUCCUCCUUUGCCAAUGAGACCUGUAGUGUGAGGUAAAAUGCUCGGUAGCUUUAUUUUGUGUAGACCACCUAACAUUGUGGCCAUGGGUGCUCACCAGAGGGCUGUAGAGUGUUUGUGGGGUAUGGAGGCCCAUGGUGCUGGCCACUGCGUGAGCCUCAGGAGCUUUGCAGGCAGGAUCUUCAGGGAACUGCGGCUUCCAUGGAGGAGAUGGGACCAUCCUGGUGGUAGCGAUGGGCAGGGGAUGUGGCUGGAGUGAGAACCCAUGGUGAACAUGCUUGAUUUCUAGAGCCUCUUUCUUGCGGGGAAUGUGGUGAUGUUAAUAGCAUCCUAGUAUUAAUCUAAAAAUAAAGUCUGUAAAGUGUUUGGUGCUUCCCGAAGACAAAACCUGUUUCCUUAAUCCUCCCUGGACCAGCAUUGGUGGCUCCUUUCCUCCCCAGAAAAGAGCAUGGCCCAGCACAACCUUCCCUCUGUCAUUGUAAAAUGUGGGGCCUCUGAGUCAUGAUGCUGACAGGGCCCUCAGCUUUCUUUGGCUUUCACAGUUGUCCCUUGUGUCCCUUUUCAUGUUUGACCCCAGGUGCAUCCUGGAUGCAAGCUCACUCUUGGUCUGUUUUGAAGCCCCUCAGCAUUUGCUGGCGCUCUGCUGUUUUGUAAUGGCGGGACUUGGGCCUUUCCUAUUACACUGGAUCCUCACUCCGUGAUGUGGUGAGCAGGGCACAGGGAAGAAGCCAGCCGCCCUGCAGCUCUCGGGCUUCAAGGAGGGAACCACAGUCUUCACCAAGGUGCCUCUGUGUCCUCUGUGUAUUUCCUGCCCUGAUUCCACCCCUUGCCCCCACAGUCCAUCACAUGCACUAUGAAUCCCAGCCACCUGCCCUCAGUCUCUGGCUGGAAGACUCACUGUUUGGCUGCCCUUCUCCAGACCUGUCCUGUAAAUUUCUGCCUCUCCGAAGCCUCCUUACUCUGACCAUUUCCCUUCCCCGAUCACGGCCCUCACCCUAGUUCUCUCUUUACCACCAACACCCCCAUCAACCUCUCACUCUAGGGCCCGUUACCUUCCCCUCUAAAAAUCAUUUGAUGACUGGCUCCUUUAAAGGGGGUCUUAAGUGUGACAGCCCCUCCUACUGUGGCCCCCAGCUCCCUUCCUGGCCUCUGCUGACCACGCAUUCAGCAGCUGGCUGUCCUCAGAUAUGCUAUCUGCCUGUCUCUCAUGAGCCCCGCCCCUGGCCAUCCCAAACACCGGAAUGUCCCCUCAAUACCCUCCUCUUUCUUCCCCUUCCCUGUUGUUUUGUAUGGCCACAUGCCCCUCCUCCCGGGGCUCGCCCUGGUUCCCCUGUCUGUUGCUCAGCCCAUGCUAACUCAUGAAUACACUUCCCUAUGUGUGCUUUCCUCCUCCCAGAGAUCCUUAGCUUCUAAAAGGAAGUAGCCAUCCUCAUUCUUCUCCAAUGUUGGUGGAGUGGACUUGGAUCUGUCGUCUGGGGUUGGAUUUCCACUUCUGUCCAGGGAAAGUGAAAGGCUUCAGGCUUCUUGGAUCUUAGGGUGACUUCCCAGAAAAUUGUUACACGGGAAAUAUUGAGGGGUUCAUUAUUCAAAAGGCAUAAGGAAUAAUUGUUUUUAAGCACAUUUUGCUCUAGUAUUCUCUCCUUCUUACUUCAGCAUUUCGGAAGUGAGUUCCAUUUUGUUCACCUCAAGUGGCCCAGCAUCAGACACGGUCCCAGAGCAUAAUACGUGACAUCCAGGGCUUUGGGUGGGCCAGCAUCAGCAGUAUCUGAGCUCAGCCCAGCCCCUCCUCAUUCCGGUCUGCUCCUUGCUUGCUUCCUGCUGCCAGCAUGCCCUCUCCUGUGGAUUGUGGAUCUAGUUCUCAGGAGUUGUGUCCUCUUUUCCGGAGGGCUGGGAAUGGAACCCAGGGCCUUGCACAUGCAGGCACGCUUCCGGUAGCUGCACCCCCAGCCUGUGGCCAUCUUCUGGGAAGGAGCUCCUCCUCCACCUAGAGGUAGUGAGGUGGACACUGUGAAGUCAGAAGAAGGCUUUCUGUCCCCCGAGAAGUGCUUUAAGGCAGGCAGGUGUGUUGUUUUUUGUUGUUUUUAAGUGAGACAAAUGUGCUUUUCCAAAGACUCUGUGUGUGUGCUUACACCCCUGAGUCUGCUUGAACAUCUAACACCUACCAGCUCCCUGACAAGAACAUUUGUGGCAGAUAAAAGGCAUUAAAAAGUCCUGAGAGUGAAGCGGGAUGAGUCACAGAGAGAGUGAGCCUGCCAGAGCCUUUGAGAGCAGCUCAGUUCCCACUUCCCUCAGGCCUCUGCCAGGCAGGGGUUCACAGGUGGGUGUGAGCUUCCCCACUCCUCUGGCUCCCUGCCACCUGCAUACCUCCCAGGACCUGCCCCUCCCUCCCAGCCCAGGCCCACUGCAUGCCCUGCUGGGCUCACCUGGCAGCUGUGGCUGUGGGAACCAGCCCUGGGCUGCCUUUGCCCCAAAUGACAAGACUGAGCUGUGAGUUACUAUGUGUCACCCUGCAGUAUUCAUGGCAGCAGGGUAGAACGGCAGGGCAACGUGGCCCCCUAAGGCCAGAGAGAUUAGACAAGUGCCUGUAAAACGGCUGAGGUAAGAUUUUCAGCAGGGGAUCGCAGGGAUCCACAGGCUCAAAGUGCCAUCUGCGGCAAGGGUCAAGAACUUGGUGGUGAAUGCCAGAUGGUUUUGCAGGGCCUGAUGUUUUUUGAGGUCUUUCUGUAUUGCUCAGAGCCGAUUUCAGAAAUCCUGGGUUCCCCAGUGGAGUUGGAAGGAGACAGGGAUACUCAUCACUGAGAAGGGAGAAUGCCAAGGCUUUGGUGGGAGAUGUGUUUGGGAAGUAAGGAAGAUGGGGAAGAGGGGGUUGGAGAAGUCUUGGACCCUGCUUUCCCCCCAAGGGACCUAGGAUUGCUACUGACCAAGCCCGUGGUCUAUGCAAUGGCUGCCUUUCUUCAUAACCCAUUCCAGUUCUUCCCCUGGGUUUAAGUGAAGGGAGAUUCUGAGUCACAGGAUUAUCUUUACCCAGUCUAUGGAGAACCAAGGGGUCGGAGCAACAUAGACACACGUGUCCAUCAGGAGAACAGAAACUUAACAGAUGUUCAGUUAAGCACUCUCUGUUCAUCACUGAAACAGCAGCCCUCGAACGAAGGUAGUUGGACAGGCAAUGCCUCUAUCUCACACUGCUUUGGGGUGUGUCCUGCCCUAUGUCCUGGAGCACACCUGGGCACACCAGGUGCAACCAAGCUCCGUGGGCUAUUUUGUAGUCUGAGGUCAAGCUCUUCUGGAGAACCAGUGAGUGCCUUUGGGCAGGUUUUGGAAAUUCAGUUGCAGGUCAAAAGGCUGAGCCUCCUGGGAUUAUGGAAAUACCAGGACUCCAGGUUGGACCCUGCAUCCCAAAAGUGAAAAGGUUCCUCACCCCCUGGGAGUCACAGUGCUGACUGUUGUAAAGAAGGAAGUGUGACAGCAAAAAUGUGUUUUUGGCCAAUUUUAAUCAAACCUGGACAAAAGUUGGGUUGAGCCAAGAGUUGGAAUCUUGCCUCGUCUUCUUUUGUUUUCAGAUAGGUCUGUUUUUCCCAAUUACUAGACUCCAUAACAGAACACAGUGUACUUAGUUAGGGCACACAGUUUGAAUUAUUUGUGGUUCCACCAGAAGUUCAGAAGUGGAAUGUGCUUUAUUAAAAAAGCCUGAAAGAAGGUAGCAAAAAAAGGGAAGAGAAGAAAGAAAAGCAAAGAAACUGGCCACAGAUCUGCCUAUCAAACAGCCAGUGAGUGUGCCCUGAAGCAGAAGAACAGCACAUCCCCGCAGCCAGUUGGCAGCAGAGAGGGACGCAGGCUCCCCUACCUGGCUGUUCAUUUGACAGGCGCCUCGGGAACGGCAUUCAUCAUUUUGGACUUAGAAAAGGAGCAUCGUUGGUAGGGAUGGUUUAACUUCUUCACCAGUUUUUCAGGCAUGGUGUGUGUGUAUGUGUGUAUGUGUGUGUGUGUGUGUGUGUGUGUUUUAACCACCAUACUGCAAUUUAUUCAGGAAGUUAAUUGCUUUAUUCUUUUACAUUGACCUUGAGAGUAUUUCAUAUCUGAGAAAAGUGACAUUUUGGUUUUCUAAUUUAGAAGCACAAAGGGAGUUGAGAGAGAUAGUAUAUGAGCCUGAUUCACACUUUGGGGAAAAGUGGUCCGGUUUAAAUUAUAGGCUCUUGGAACUGGGAGCAAAGAUAACAUUAUUAGACUUAUGCAUUAAAUAUGAUUAAUGGCACAAUGGGGAUAACAUCGAUGUCCCUGCGUGUGUGCCACUGUGGCUUGCAUUUCAUCCCUGAAAACCUGUGCAGGUUGAAGGAUGUAGGUCUGCACCGUGGACUCGCUGAUUCAAACUUCCCUGCAAGUAGCAAACGCUGGAAACCCUUAGCCUAUGGAUUCAUAGGAUGCCGUUUUAGAAAAGAGGGACCCCCCCCCCCCGCCACAAAGAAGCAUACUAAUAGAAACGCCAGCCCUGAGUGUUAGGGUCACUUUGAGACAAAUUAAUGGAAAGAAGAGGAUAUCAAAAGUCAGUAGCCUGGGGAUGGAGGGAUAGGGAAUUUAAACUCACCUGAAUCAGGUGCCGUUCCACAAUGUGUACAUUUAUCAAAUCACCAUGUUGUACACCAUAUAGAUGUUUUACUUGUCAACUCAAGAUAAUGAAAAAAAUUCUUAUAGGAUAGCCAGUUUGGUUUUACAUGUGAAGUGAGCCGGUUGGUCCCUAUUAGAUCCCACUCCUCCCCCAGGGUUGGUAAUCUCCGAGGCCAGCAAAUGCUUCUAAAAUACAUUUUGGGGAUGCUUUGGGGGCUGUCUCAUCUCUCAGUGGGAAGAAGGAGAGUUCUUUCUCAGCUGACAAAGCCAUAUUUAAAACAUCAUCAUUUUGGAAGGAUGGUGGAGGGGCAGGGGUAAAAUGUAGCUGUCACCUUCUCCUCCCCUUGGGAACAUGUGAUGUCUUAGUUUUCACAAAGAAGAAUAAAAUAAAAGGUGGGGGUGGGACUUUUCCUAGGAGGUUAGCAGGGUGGCAGAUGCUAUCCUAUAAAUUACUUUGGGGUUUAUGCAACAAUCUAAGAGACAAAUCAAACUUGAAAAUAACUUACCUUCUUUUCCGCAUCCAUAUCAGUAACUUGUGUUUGUUUUGUUUUGCUUUGCUUUGCUUUUUGUAUGCUUGAAAAAAUUAAUCCUACUGCAAAAUUUUUAUGCUUCCAUUAAAAAAUAGUUUCUCUUUUUUUUUGAAAAAGCACCUCUAUUUACUUUUUACUUUUAGAUUCACUUCUAGAUUUUAACUCACCUUCUAGCCAUUAAAACAGAAAUGUAGCUACUAGUCAUCUGCUGUUAGAGAUUAAAUUUACAAGUUACUUUUUUAUUAUUACUAUUAUUAUUGCUAUCAUUGCCAGCAUCUAUUAUUCAUUCAUUGUGGUGUGAAGAACAAAACUGAUGAAAAUUAAUUUUUAUCCCCAUAUCCAAACCUGCCCUGUUUGCCAGUUUCAUCAGCAAAAAACACUUUUGGAAUAGGUCUCAUAGUUAUUUUAAUCCUUUUAAAGUGUUGGUUCCUGCCCAGUAACUCCUGAGCUGGCUCUCGGGCACUUGUCUGCCAAAAUAUGCUGAUGGCAUCCCUGACAGUUGAUCAUAAACUGCCAGAGAGCUCAGCCGAGGCUGGAGCCAGGUCCUCACAGUCCCCAUCACGGUGAAAGGGAGCCUGUCCCCACAGGCAGCUCUGCACAGACACAGGACCUGGCUGUUGUGCAAAAAGAGAAUGGGGGUCUGUGACAGGCCAAAUGUGCAUGGGAGGCAGGGACAGAAUUAGAAAGGGCAGCAGUGGGGAGCACCAAGGCACAUUGAGCAGUGGGUCAGACAGAGUCCCUGAUGCAGAGCAGAUGAGCAGUUACAAGAAGCAAAAUAGCCAGAACGAUGACUGAUAGGAGGCUGAUAAACAGGAGUGUUUUUGAAGGCUUGUUUUCCACAUUGAAUGUGGAGAAAAGUACAAAGUGGAGAUAACAGAAAAGUCCUACCUAAAGAAGCCUGUGGGGCAGUCAUUGUAGUCUGGGGACAGGGGAGGGGGCAGUGCAGCUCUGCCAUCUCUAGGAAGCCAAAUGGGAGAAGGCUAGUGGGAUGUAACACCUGGAUUGGGGGCAACAGCCCCAGAGAGGACCAGCCAUCCAUUCAGCCAAACCUGCUUUAUGAUCUGACCUAUGUCCACGCAGUCACCCUGCAUGCCCUCUUUGGCCCCUUUUGUGAUAGUGCCACUCACUGCCUCUUUCCUCUGGGGGACAGGUGGAGAGGAAGCAGUUACAAUUCUGUGUGGUAAGCUGGGGGUGCUGGGCUGCAGGAACCCCAGGGAGAUAAGCAUUUAGCUGGAGCCAGAGCUCAGAGCUGCCUAACUGUGAAGGGGGUGGGCGGAGGAGGCUGUGGAAUCUUAGAAUCUAGGAGAAUUUCAAGGAGAGUAGCAGCCCAUCUCUCCCAAGAGGCAUGGUCUGGUUUAAAAAAAAAAAUUAAUUGCAAUUUUUUUUUUUUUUUUAGCCUAGACCGGGCAUAUUGAACCUUCCUAGACCAAGAGGCAGCCAGUGGGAGUUAGGAGAGAUCCUGAAAUCAGUUUCAUUCUAGCGACUCGUGAGCUAUAACUAAUAUUUGCCUCUACUCCCUGAAACCAAGAGACGCUCACAGAGGUCCAACUCCCCUGGGCUCCUGUGGAUACCAUGUGGCCCCGCAGGCAGACGAUGGCAUCUCUACACAGUUGUUUCUUUUAACUCUAAAGAGGGACUUAUGCAAUCUCACAUGUGAUAAGAUGAAAUGAAAGCCCUGGAAAAGUGGAAUGCUUGUCUCCAGCGUUGAGGAAGCCCCAGGAUCUGGCGUGCUCUUGGUGCCUGGCUCAGAGAGUAGCUCCAGUGGACAUUUGCCGUUAUCACUACCAUUCCACAUCUACAGUGACCCAUGGGCUCCAAAUGCUUGCACACCUGACCCUCACUCACCCCCACCUCAUGAUGUAGGUCAGUCAAUAAGCUCCCUGAUAUUGAGAUGGAGUAGGGAGUGUGUUAAAAUGAGCAGUUACAAGAAGCAAAAUCGCCAUUGUACUUCCAUACAAUGGAAGAGUGGAGGCCGGAGUAAAAGGGAGGCUGGGGAAGAAGGGAGGCUGGGGAAGAAGAGUACAUAAAAGAAAAGAUGGAAGAUUGAAGGAUGGGGGGCGGGCAAAAAAUUCCUUUUCCUCUACCCAUCCUAGCUUCUCCAGCUGAAGCCCUGUCAAUUAGACUGUCAAAAGACAGGUUAACAAGAGGAAAAAAGCACUGGGUGCCCAAUGAUGUGUACCCAGGGGAAGGGCCAGAAAUUGGGCUUAUGUAACAUCUUAGACUAAACAACGGAAAGAGGUUUGGGGUUUCUGGGCUGGGAAGGCAAGUCAUGAGAAGGAAAUGUAUGGUAAACGAGGGUUGUUGCCACCUCCAUUGAUCCAGAGUUGAGAGUCUUCCUCCUCCUGGCCAGGGAGAAGAGACACCUUUUACAAAUGGAAACUUCUCUUAUUUCCUUUACCAAAGGAAAACUUGUGUUUUACUUUUCAUGCUUUUUCUGCUUCUGCUGGUUCUCUUGGCCUUCAGCUUUAAAAUAAUCCAUGCCAAAGAGGUGUAUUUAGAGGUGGCAUAUUCUGGCACUUUUCAGAUAGCAGGAAGGAGAAUGUUGGAGCAGUGGUCCAGUUUCUUGCACUUGGCUUUUGCUCUUUUCCCUCCCCAUAGCAGUAAAGAGAAUCUGUAAGACUUGGUUGCCUUUUAAAAAUUCAGUGAAAAUUUGAGCACCUCCCAUAUCCCUGUAUACAUUCCUACCCUCCAGGAGUUUACAACUGAAAAAAAAAAGGAAGGUAAGCUAAUUUGUUGAUUACUCUAAUGCACAGGGGAAGUAAUAAAGGCCCUACGCAGGGGCAUAGGGAGUAGACCAAAAGUCCUGAGGAAGUAUUAGUGACUGCUAGCUGGGAACCACCCUUAGAAGAUAGGGAACUGAUGCUGCAGAGUCCUGUGUGGAAGUCCUGGCCCUCCCUUGUGGGGACUGCCUAUGGCUCCUUAUGGUUUGCAUAUAGUGUCCCUGGAAAUGGAGGGGAAACUGGCAAAAAUAAAGUAAAAAAAUGUAGGUUAGGACUGUAUUAUGAACAGCCCUAAAUAUCAGUCUAGGAAACAUGGGCAUCUUUUUUUUUCUUUCUUUCUGGUGAACAUGGAGUGAUUGCAUCCAUAUUUUGGAAUACCAUGCCAUCGCGAGCAUAUGCACCAACAUGAAUCAGUUUCUGAGACCUGUUGUUCAACGGAAAAUACGAGUGGCAGAAAAAUAUGCCCAGUGUGAUAUCACCCAUGGAGAAAAGAUGACACAAAAUGAUUCUCUGUGUUUGUGUGGGUUCUGUGGGGUCUGGAAGGACCCACACCAGACUGCUCACAGCCGUUACCUUUAGGGCAAAAAAAAAAAAAAAAAAAAAACAAAGAACUAG